Molecule: long non-coding RNA, 53487 nt
Filed under: Jatropha curcas
Lineage: Eukaryota; Viridiplantae; Streptophyta; Magnoliopsida; Malpighiales; Euphorbiaceae
Description: long non-coding RNA (JCUR_LNC002098)
Source: RNAcentral
UUUGCUGGAAGUGUUAAUUACUUUGUUUCAUAAGUAGUGCAAUGCUUGUUUUUGAAUGAUUUACGCAUGAAUUCCGCGUCUCAUGAAUUCUGUUUGUUAGAUUCCCAGUUUGUAGAUUUUUCAUUAAGAUUGAGAAAAGGAACAAUAUGUAAACGAAAAGGCAUGUGAAUUUGUAGAAGUCUGAGCUGCGGUUUAAUGUAGUUGGAAGUCUAUUGAUUAGGGGUUUCUACUAAGUGCGGUGAAAUAGAGUAGGAAAAAUGAGUGGUUCAACUUCUAUGUUGUUAUUUGUCCAAACUAUUUUCAUUAUAGAAUUGACUGAAUCUUACAAUCAAGUUUUUUGUAUUAUUGUUAUUCCUAAGGAUCCAAAAUUUCAGCCAGAAUUGUCAAGCACCUAUCAGCCUCUAAAAUGCAAUCCUGAUUGCAACUGUGAUGAUGAAAGGGAACAGUGCAUUUAUGACAGACGGUAUGCUGAAAUGAGCACUAGCAGUGGUGUUCUUGCUGAGGACUUUAUAUCCUUUGGCAAUCAGAGUGAACUUGAACCGCAGCGUGCUGUUUUUGGUUGUGAAAAUGUAGAAACUGGUGACCUUUACAGUCAACAUGCCGAUGGCAUAAUGGGAUUGGGCAGUGGUGAUCUCAGUAUUGUCGAUCAACUUGUUGAAAAAGGCGUGAUUAGUGACUCAUUCUCAUUGUGUUAUGGCGGAAUGAAUAUUGGUGGGGGUGCAAUGGUUCUUGGUAGUUUGUCCCCACCUUCCGGCAUGGUCUUUACCUAUUCAGAUCCUGUGCGCAGGUGUGUUGUUAAAAAUUCUCUCUCUGUCAGAUGUGAUACAUCUUGAACUUUCCUAACAAGCACAUUUGGUACCUUUCAUACAUUUACUCUAGUUUCGGGAUGGCAACAGUCAAUACUAUAACAUUGAUUUGAGAGAGAUACAUGUUGCGGGGAAGCGGUUGCCUCUUGAGCCUGGUGUAUUUGAUAGAAAACAUGGUACUAUCCUGGAUAGUGGCACAACAUAUGCUUACCUACCAGAAGCAGUAUUUAAAGCAUUUAAGGACGCUGUAAGCUUCAGUUUCCUUGCUUACAUCCUUUAUCAUUUUCUAUUUGUUCCAUUUUGCAAUUAAUAAUUGAAGGAACCUAUUCUUUGCACCAGUUUGUUCCUGAGAAAUAAUUGUUGCCUUCAUGUAAUUAAGAUUACAAUCUUAAAUAUAGCAUGGUUUGAUUAAUUCCUGAAAAUGUUAAGACAGCAUUCAUUUAAAUUUUAGUUUAAUGAAUUAUGAAGUAAUGCAUUCUGAGAAAGAUAAUGAAUAGGGUGAGUGCUUGAAUGUUAUGACAUGGAUGAUGCAUCUGAGAAAAGCAAGGACAGUAAUUUGUCUGUUUUGUUCAUUCAAGUGGAUUGUGUGUAUGGUAUGGUAAUGUAUAAAUUCAUUCUAGUGCUUCUCUGCUUUUCCCAUGAAAAAAGAUCUUUCAUUCCUCAGUUCUAAUUUGAAAUUUAUUCUAGUGCUGGUCCAUGUCUUCACCUCUUCUUAGUGCAGCUUACCAAUUUGUUCUUUUAUUUGUAUCUAAUGGGUUCUCCUUUUUAAUUUGUAUAGAUUAUGAAGGAACUUCACUCGUUAAAGCAGAUCCGUGGUCCUGAUCCAAAUUAUAAUGACAUUUGCUUUUCUGGUGCUGGAAGGUAUUAUCUAAAUAAGAAAAGAAUGUGUGAAUUGAAUUCCACAGAUAGAUGGGUUUCUUAUUGUUAUUGCGUGAUUAAAAGUCAAAUUGAUUUAAUGUCCUCAGUGAAGUCUCCCAACUUUCAAAUGCAUUUCCAACGGUUGACAUGAUAUUUGAACAUGGGCAAAAGUGGUCACUAUCACCUGAAAAUUACCUAUUCCGUGUGAGUAUUGAUCUUUCUAUCAUUUUUUUGAAGCAAAAAAGGCGGGACACGUGAAGAUAAGAGAAAUCCCGAUCUUUACAUGAAUUUUCAAUUUUAUUUGAACUUUAUCAAUUUGUACACUUUAUCAGUGACUUUCUGGCAUUGAGGCUGUUAUUUCUGAAAAUGCAUGUUUUAGAUGUUACUGCAAUGCAGUUUGAAACAUUUUAUUUUCUUGGAGUGUGUAUUAUCAUAAAUGCACAUCUAUGUUUGAAAUAUUCUUUAAUGACUUUAAUAUAUUCAAGGUCUCAUUUUGUAUCAGCGAUAAGUACAACAACAAUGAGAAGCAGACCUAAAGUGGUAUUUAAUUGAAUUGGCAUGUUGACAUAGUUGGCGAGUUGAGAAAGAUUCCAACUAUUGGCAUGAGCCCGGCCUGAAGAUAUCUAACCUGAUUUUCCAUUCUUUUCAUAUACAACAUGGACCUUUUCUAGUGGGGUGCGUUUAGAGUGUUACUGUGGGAUCUAGUUAAUAGAUAAACUUCUACUAAGCCAUAUCAACUGCCAACCAGCUGUAGCUCAAUCCUAUCAGGUGUUGCAUGAAAGUAGAAUGCUCAUAUUGAUAAAGUUAAAACAAUUGGACGAAAUCAGUAAUUCAUACAAAUAUCAAGACCUUUUGGACUAUUAGGCCUGAGUAUAUUCCUGUAAAUAUAUUUGUGCUUUAUCAAUGAGGAAGCUCAUUUUUUAUGGGAUUGAGAGUUUUUUGGUUUCAACGACAGUAUUUGAUGUGACGCACUGAUGAAGCCUGUUCUUCUUUUUUUUUUUUUUUUUUUUUUUCUCAUGAAGCAUACAAAAGUCCCCGGUGCAUACUGUCUUGGGAUAUUCCCAAAUGGGAAGGAUCCAACUACUCUUCUAGGAGGUAUGCAAUAUAUGAGCUUUUAUUUGCGUUGUAUUCUAAAGAUAUUUAAGUCAGUUUAUGCUCCCUUGGCAAUAGAUAUGUUUUCUAAUUAUUUCUAUCAUUUACUACCAAAUUUGUUUCUAAUUUAUUUUACUAAUAAUAAUUUUAUUUUGGAUGCAAUAACAGGAAUAAUUGUCCGCAAUACUCUUGUGAUGUAUGAUCGUGAAAAUUCAAAGGUGGGUUUCUGGAAGACCAAUUGUUCUGAGCUAUGGGAAAGACUCCACAUAACUAGUGCUGCAGCACCAUUACCUUCAGAUUCAAAUGGCACAAACAUAACUGUAGAAAUACCGCCUACAUUGGCUCCUAGUGACCAACUGCAUUAUGUUCUUCCAGGUUUGGUUCGCUUGUGGUUUGUGCAAUUCUUAUGUUUUAUAUGUCAUUUAAACUCACUACGUUAGCAUACCCUUUUUGUGUCGACACCAUACCACAUAGCGUAAGAUGCUAGUUACAGUGAUAUGACAUUCAUGAUGGAUUUCUUGAAUAAAAAGUUAUAGUGCAGACGUUUCGGCAACUGGGUUGCAGAGAAAAAAUGACAUUUAUUUUCUUGUGAUGACUUGGUUGGUUAUCAAACCUUCAUCAAUCACAGAUGCUUUCCCAAUUUCUUUUAUUUUCUUUGUUAUGAUUUGGCUUUGACAAAGUCAGUCAUUCUGUUUUCUUUUUGUCACCAGAUCUGACUGGUGGACUUCAUUCAAACUAUAUCUCUAGUAAAGAGAUUAAAAAGUAGGGACUACAGAUUAAAAAUAACUAUAAGGGGAUAAUGGAAAGAAAUACUAGUGAAAGUAGGCUAAUUGUGAGAUGUAAAGGAACAUUCGAAAUAAUUUGAUCCCUAAGUCCAAAUCAUGCACUUAUAUAUCUUGUCUUUUUGUUGAGACAAGAGACAAGAGCCAGCUACUUGAUACUGAAGUUAUUCUCAAUUUGUAGCAUUGUCAACACGUCAUGUUGCUCUUUUAGUCUGUUAUCACAUCUUGUUUGAGAUGCUUUCGGACAAUGGUUUCUCAUUAACUUUUAUUGACAGAUGAACUUCAAAUUGGACAAAUAACAUUUGAAAUGUCACUGAAAGCCAACUACUCACAUUUGAAGAUUCAUGCUACAGAACUUAUUGGAUUCAUUGCUCAACAGUUAGGUGUUAAUUCUUCCCAGGUUAGAAAAAUUUUAUAUUGGAAGGUUCCUUUGCAUCAUUUGCAUAAAACUAGUGCAAAUUACUCAUUUGCUCAUUGAAAUCUAAAAUUUCUUCUUGACCAGGAUAAAAGAAGUUAAAAAUCUGUCUUGUAAUUAAUGCUGCUUAUGAUAAAUGAUUUUUUUUUUUUUUUUAUACUUCUGCCUGAGUUCCUUCCUUCAGGGGCGACAAUAAUCAUACUUGAUAAUUUCAGGUCCAUUUACUGAAACUCGCUUCUAAAGGAAAUGAUUCACUCAUUGGAUGGACCAUAGUCCCUUCAGGAUCUGCUGACCACAUUUCUAAUGCUACUGCUCUUGUAAGUUUGCUUUUGUAGAAGCAUGACUGUGAAUUUAUGGAAGAUUGAAACUGUUUACUUAUUUUUUGGUUCUACCUGCAGAGUAUAAUUUCCCGGGUUGCUGAACAUCACAUUCAGCUUCCUGAUACCUUUGGAAGUUACCGGUUGGUUCACUGGAAAAUUGAGCCUCCAGCAAAUCGGUAGGCUCUUUUUUUGUCACUUUAUGGGAAACUAUUAAUCCCAAGUUCAGUAUGACUUUCAAAUUUAAAUAGUUAUUUUUGUGUCUUUAAUUUAUUAAUCAGCUGGGCAUGUUAUAAACAUAGUGACUUCUGUUUAACUUUCAUCACAUAUCCUUCUUCUUAUUAUAGUUUUACGUUACCUUUCUUUUAUUGUUUAAUGUUUACUUUUAUGCAUUAAUUGUUAUUCUGGUAUAGGCUGAAGUUAUUAUGUUUCUGCAAGUAAAUAUUACUCUCUUUUAUGUAAUCAUGCAGGACAUGGUGGCAGCAACAUUAUUUAUUCGCAGGCUUAGUCGUUAUUAUCGUUCUCAUUCUUGGAUUAUCAGCUUCUGGAUUAUUGUUUAUUUGGAGGUGUAGAGAACAAACAUUCAGUGCAUAUAGACCCGUCAAUACAGCAGUUCCUGAGCAAGAACUACAGCCAUUGUGAACCCCCAGUGGUUGUCCGUGCUUCGUGAUUUACGCUGUAUGUACUGUAUUCGGUUAGCUUUUUUUAUAUAUAUAUAGCCUCGAAAUGCUGUAAAUUUGCAAGCGGAGCUACUGAAUCUACAAUCAAAGGCCUUACCAAAUUAUUCAUCAAACAGGGAUGUAAAGAAGGAAUUGCAGAAAUGUAUUCCUUUGUUUUCUUUCUACUUUACAUGUUGCUUUUGAUAAACACUUGCUUAAUUUUUCCUACCAGCUAGUUGUUACAUACAAUGUGAACUUCUAACCGCUUGAUUUGGGAAAAAUCCUAGGUAGAUUAUGCAACUCACACCAGCUAUGCACUAAUUUUGUUAGGGUGACACAGGUAAGAAUAAGAGACGAUGUGUGAAUAUGGAGAGAUUCUUAUAUAGACUACGUGAGCUAUAGACAAAUCCAAUGGAAUAAUGUUACCUUAGAAAUUUGUUGAAAGCUCAAACAAAAGGGAAUUAUUAUUAUUACUUUUAUAUAUAAAAUACUAAUUAAAUAAAAUGAUUUUGACCUUGGAAAUGAGGAUUUUAUCAUCCAUAUAUUUCAUUAAUAGCAAUGUUUGGUGUUUCAAAUGUAAAAUUAUGAAGCAUCAACAUAGUAUUAAAAUCAAACAUUAAAAAUACUAAAAUUAAAUUAUCUAAUGAUCUUAAAAUUUAUUUUGAAAUAAUAAGGUCAAUUAACUAUUUGAUAUAUGAGUAUUAUUCAAAUCACAACUAGUUAGUAAAAUUACUACUAAACUUGGUCCUAUUAGACUAUCCAAAUAUACAGUAUAGAAAAUACUAUUUUUACCGUUAAAUACUCCAUAUAUUUGAUUGUUUGGUCUUUCACAUUUAAUAUAACUAGUCUUUUGUAUGUUGACUAUGCUCAUUAUAUACUCAUUUUUUUUUAUCUAUAUAAUAUUAAAGCAUAAUUUUUGUUUAGAUUAAAAUAAAUACAAGUGGUUAAUUUAUAUUACACUUUGCCGUACAAGCUACUUGUAAUAAUACUUAUUAUAUAUUUAAUUCUAUUUUUAUAUAAUGAAGUGGUCUUAGCAGAUUUUUAAAAUUCUAAUAGGUGCUUAUUAUAUACUCAUUUUUUUUUAUCUAUAUAAUAUUAAAGUAUAAGUUUUGUUUAGAUUAAAAUAAAUACAAGUGGUUAAUUUGUAUUACACUUUGCCGUACAAGCUACUUGUAAUACUACUUAUUAUAUAUUUAAUUCUAUUUUUAUAUAAUGAAAUAAUCUUAGCAGAUUUUUAAAAUCCUAAUAGGUGCUCAAAAAGAAAAUUAAGUCAUCACACAUUCUCUAACCCCUGCCCUCAAUCCAAAUCUAAUAUCUACAUACAACUAUAAUGAAAAAUAAUAAUAAAUUAAUUUUUACUGCUAAAUAAAAAAAAAAAAUGAGAGGAUGAUUAGAAUUAAUAAUGGAAAUAAUUUUGACUACAAUGACAGUAUUAUUUACCUAAUGUAUCUGAGAAAAGAAUAUAUGUGCAUAUACAAAAAUUCUUGAAACCCCAAAAAAGUGAUCCAAAUAUAACUAUAUAGUUCUAGUUUUUUUUUUUUUUUUUCCAGUUUUCUAACACUAUUUGCUUUUGAAUCAAACAGAUUUGGAAUAUAAGAGAAAAAAAAUAUCAGAAAAAUUAAAAAUGCUUAAUCAUCAAUAGACCAUCUACUUAUUAUAAGGGAUAUAAAUCUCUUACUAAAUUAAAAUGAUAGUAGUUAUAAAUUAUUCAAUAAUGAAAAAAAUAAUAAAAAAUUAUUAUUAAAAAUAAAACUCUUUCAAAACUCAUCUAACAAAAAAAUAUUUCAAUGUACAUACAUAUAUAAAUAAAUUAAUAAAAUAUUAUAUAUUUUUUAAAUUAAAAAUUUCAACCAUUUGCAUCUAAGGUUUAAUUAUGUAAGUUUAUUUAAAAACUUACUCUUUAAAAAAUAUAUCCAAUCAAAAUUUACAAACAUAAAGAAAAAAUGUUAAUAAAAAUAAUAUAUUUUUUUCUUUUUUCAUCCCUCCUAAAAAAAAUAUUAUAUAUAUUUUAUUUAAAAAUUUAUUUAAAAAAAUAUAUUCAAUCAAAUCAUACAAACAAGUAAAGAAAAAAAAGAAUAUUAAUAAAAAAUAUUUUUUUUUUUUCCUUUUUUUAUCUAUAUCCUAGAAGAAUUUCUAUUUAGUUUUCCAUUUAACAAUAAAAAUGAGAGUUUCUAAAAGAAAGAAAUUAAUAAUAUAAGAAUGUGAUAGCAAUUUGUUAAUUACUCAAAAUAACAAUAAUAAAGAAAUGAAACAUGCAUUGGUUUCUUCCUAGGAAGUUUCUACGACAAAUCCAAAGCUGACAUUCCAUUCCAUUCUAAGGAAUCGGUCAUUAUUUGAUUAUUUCCAUGGUGCUAAGCGUACACUAGAAGAAUAUACUAAUUCUGGUCAAACAGGAUUCCGGAGCCAUUAACCAAAAAUAAAACGUUAACAACAAUACUAUUCUUUAAAAGUGAAUGAAUAUUGUUUAUAUAAUAAAUAUAAAAUUUUUAACAUAUAUAUAUCUAAAACUCAAUAAUUUCACUUAAUUAUAUAUUUAUUAUAACUAAAAAUGAAAAAUUAACAAAGUUAUACAAAUAUUUCUUUUCAUUGUACCGCUUGAAAAUCAAUUAUGUUCUUCAGUAAUAAUUUUAUAAUUCUUUUUUUCAUAUCCAUAGAAUUAAUUUGUUACUAAUACCUAAAAAAAAAAUUCUUUUUGCAUUGAUAAUUUAUAAUGUAAAAUCAUAUAUAAUAUGGUGAGAAUUUUUUUUUUUAAAUGAGUUUUUGGUAAAGAAAAUUGGUAAAAGUAAAACCAACCUCUUUAUCGGCUACCUAAUGAAUAAAUUAACCAUAUUAAAGUCAAUCUUAAUCGAUAAAUAAUGCUCUAAAUAAAUUACAUAUAGUAUUAUUUUUAUAGAUCAAAAGUUCUGAAAGCCAAAAAGUAUAUGAAAUUACAUUUUCUUCUCUUCAUAUUUGUUUGGCUUAAGAGUUUUAUUUUUUGAAAGGAUAAGAAAUUAUUUGUAGGUUUUUAUUUAAUAAAUAUACUAAUUAAUCUUUCAGAUUUAAGGUCGUUAAAUUAUUUAUUCAUUCAAUUUAAAAAGUAUAAUUUUAGAGAUUAAUGCUCUAUAAAAUUUUAUAUUCAGUCAUUACUAUUUAAUAUAAUUAUAUUAUUUCGUCUCUCAUGUUUACUACUAAAUUACUAUUUAGUCUGUUAAUUAAUAUUGAAAUUUUUUUGGAUGGACGAUUAAAUAAUUUAACAAAACUAAACUUAAAAACUAAUUUGUUUAUUUACCAAAAGAGACCAAGUUAUAAAAGAAAUUGAGACUUAAUAGUAAUUUUACCUGUAUUUCAAAUGGAGCAAUACAAAAAAUUUAAAAUUUCAGUUGGAAAAUAUCGAAGUGUUAUAGCAAAUAUAUAAUUUUUUUGAGAUGAUUAUAUAAAUAUAUAAAUGUUUUAAAAAUACAGAAUAUCAAAAUAAAAAAAAAAAGAAAGACUGAAGAAUGAAAUGGUCAACAACGAAGAAACAGAACCCACUUGCCAUAUUAUAGUUUGUUAAAAAGAAAAUCGAACAUAUAAUAAAAUAUAUACAAAAUUACGAGAAUGUCCCACUUUCCAACCAAAUGCACCUUAUAAUUAAUUAAAUAGAGCCCCAACAAACAAAUAUAGACGAAGAAAUAAAAUAAAACAAAUAUAAAAAAAUGAAAAGGCAAUGACUAUGACAAACGGGCAGAAGAUUGAAAAAAAAAAAAAGAAAAAAAAAGGGAAAAAACACAGCUUUAGCUCAAGAGAAGAAGAAUAAGCUAAAUCUUUUUGUGAUCUUAUCAUAUGAGAAUUGAAAUACUAAAACCUCAAAGAACUAAACUUUCUCUUUGAUAAUUUGGUUUCAUCAGUUAUAUUCGCUACAGGUAAUGCUUUUUUCAUUUUUUCUUGUUCUUGUGAUUUGAUCCAUCUAGGGUUUCUCAUUUUCUGAGCUUAAUUUCUUAGUUGCCUACAAAAUCAAGUAUUUGGGGCUGAAUUCAGUAACUUUUGUUUGUUUUUCUUUCAUUUCUUUUAAGGUUCAUGCUUGCCUGUUUUGAAGUUUAAACUAUAAAGCCACCAUUUGCAUUUUCUUUUUUUUGCAGAACUGAAUAUUUGAAGGUCGUAGGAUUCUUCUUUUGUGUUUUAGAUUUAUACAAGUCUUUUUUUUUUCCUCUUUAAUUUAUAUAGUUUGUUGAAGUGAUUGAAUAAGUUUAAGGUUUUAGUAUUUGAUAAUUGGUUGUUGUUCUGUGGGUUAUUGUUUACAUUUCUGAUGUUGGAAGAAGUUUGAAUCUCUUUCUUGAUCUUAGUUCUUAAACGUUUCUUAGGAUAGUUAUCUGGGAUUUGACUUAAUUGACUUCAUAUCUCUUUGGUUUUGCUUCUUGGUGCCAUUGACCUAAUGGCUGCUAGUUUGCAAAUUGGUUGGGGAGGUGAAAGUUGAAUAAUUAUUGACUGAAUUAGUUAGUGAUUAUGGAGGGUGGUUUGCUUAUUGUUUCGUAUAUGAGUAUUAUAAAUAUAUAUGUCCAAAUUUGUGGAAUUGUGGAAAAAGUUGCUGUCCGCUUCAGUCAGGACUCAGAUUAUGCUAUUGGAAGCAGGAAUUACUAGGUGUGGAAUUCACUUUGCUUUUAGGGAGGACUUUUAGCUAUUGUGGCUCUCCAAACACUUAUUCAAUGAAGAAGGAUUUUAAAUUACAAUGUGAUAUAGGGGGAGAUUAUUUUCACUGUUAUGUAAUUUGUGUUACUAAAAACUUGUGAUUUUUGGUAUAGUCUACUUCUACUGGGUUUAUUUCCCUUGUGAUUGGCAUGGGCUAGGUCCAUUAUCCUGAUAACCUUUAGCUUAUGCAAAUAUUCUUACAUUGAAUGUUUAUCUUGUUGAGCAAAAUAUUAAAUACCAUCUUUCGAGUCCUUCGGCUUGACUAAAACCAACUCAUUUUAUGUUACCUAUGAAGCAUAUGAUGGCUAGUGGCUCGAAAAGCUAUUCUAUUAAUUCGAGUUUGUGUUUUGAAAUCUCAGAAGAUAUCCUAUAUGCCGUCUUUUAUUUAUAUUUAGUUUUUGAAAGGGAAGGGUGGGGGUAGCGGGUUUGAAGAAGGAACAAACACAAGUAGUUGAAGGGGACUUCGUUUGUAACAAAAGUCAAGUUUAGGGGUUACUGGUGAUAAAAAAUAAAAACCAGGAAAUUUCCUUUUCCCUGAUAUACACUGGAAAUUGAAUUGUUUCUACAGAUUUGUGAGGUCCAUAAGAGAUGUGAUUUAAAUACACAUGAGUUCGCCGUCCUUUUGAGCCUCUUUAUCUGCUAAGUAUUUAUGAGCAGAUUGAAAUGGCAUGGUCAAUGAGAUCAGUUGGAUGUCGAUGACUAUGCCUAAGAUGAUUUUAACUAAUGAAAAUGAUGGAGAAACAUAACUAUCAAUUUCGAACUAAGUCUUUUCCUUUUUCUGAUGACACAAAUCAUUAGCAGAAAUGGAAAAAGAAAACAAGAUGGUUACUUGUUAUAUUCCUGGCAACCAUUGCACAGUUAUAGUCCUGUCUAGAGCUAUUAUCGCUUAGAGCUCAAACCUAUGAGUCAGGAAAUGUUUGUUUUUAUUGGCAGACUCAGAUGACGGACACUGCCUUUUAUCUUCUUUCUUAAAUACUAUUUAAAGGACAUUAGGAAAGACUUGGCAUAAUAAUUGUACUGAGAAUUAUCUAAGAAGGUUUACUUACUAAUGUUUCAUAUUGGAAAAAUUAUAUCAAUGCAUAGAAUUUAAUUUUCUGUCCAACUUGAUGUUGUAUUUUUCUGAUAGAGAUAAUAUGGAAAUUUAUUUUUGUACAGGAGUUUCUGGCUGAAAGCAACAAUUCCAAGAAUUUCUUAAGUUUAUCAUGGUUCUCGAAAUGUUUUUUCUUUGUUUUCCACAGUAUUGACGAUUAUUAAUGUGAGAGAUUACUUUGGCAUUUCAAGUAAGAAGUUUGUUGUGAAAAAGGUACCGUUCCUGCUCUUCCUAAUUCUGUGAUCUCUUCCUUUUUUUUUCCUGUGAACAAAUAAAGUUGCUUUGUCUGUAAGUGAUUUUUCUCCCUAAUAAGUUUUGAUAGUAGUGGUGAGAGAGAGCAGGAUUGUCUAAAAUUCAAUAGAGAUAGAGUUUGACUAGUGAAAAAAGGAUUAUGUAUUUAUAGAAUUUUGUGCUGUAUUUUAGUGUGGUUAUGGUAUUUAAUUGAAAUUAAGGUUCUGUAGUCUUUGUUAACAUUGAAUCCCUGUUGAUAUGAAAACUGUCUGUUAUGUAAUCUUAGCUUGUCGCUGUUAUUCUAUGGUCUUUUGCUUUUCCUUCUUUUGUGUGAUGGUUAUUUCUGUGUUGUGCUUUGCGACACUUGUAUGCUGUGCUAGUUGGAAAUAGAAAAUUACACAGCUUUUUCUUUUUGGGCUUGUGAAUUAUUGUUUAUCACUAUUGACAAUUUGAUGCAAACACUAGUGGAAUAAUAACAACACGAACCACUGAUGUCUUAAAUAGUAUCUAACUUGGCUGGGCAUGUUACUACAUCUUAGUGUUGGCUUUUAUGCACUGAUAUUUUCAAUCCACUGGCUCCUUGCAAGUUACCAUCAUCUAAAUAUCUGCCCUUCACCUUACCUUCUUCCAGCCAAACAUGCGGAACACUUAUUUAUUUAUUUUUCCAUAAUGCACUGCAUGUCUAAAAGAGACAGUACCAUCAACACAACCAGUACUGUUGAAAGUGUAAAGUUUGUGGAUGUGUUUUCUUUUAAUAAAAACUAUACUUGGUAAAUGGGAGAGAGGAGUAUAGGCAUCAUAAAUUUUGACGGAACUUUUCUUUUCAGUUAUAUCGUGAAAUAAGAAACAUCUAUAUCUUUUAGUAAUCUAGACUAUUUCCUUUAAAAGAUGGUUGGCAAGAAACACCUGAUACUUUUUAUGGUGUUGAUGCCUCAUUUAUCUAUUCAUAUGAUUGAAUAUAAACUUUUAGUGUUGAGAAUAAUAAAGAGAGACAGGAUUGUCGUGGUUAUCGAAUCAGGUUACCUGUGCAAUGAAAGUACACAAUGAUAGUGGGCAAUGGGAUAGCGUGCUAACUUUAUAUUACCUUGAACUAUAUGAUGCCUGUAAAGUAAAUAUUUAGAUAUCUGCUUCCACGCACUUAUAUAACCAUGAAUCUGUGCCUUAACGCUUCCUUCAGUGUUAUAGGUCUAAAGAAGCUUCAUGGUGUUUGCUAAUUUAUUACUAUUUCUUUCUUUUUGUUGGUGCACUUCGUGAUUUUUCCCAUGAUGCAGGUGUGAUGGAAAUAUCAUUGUUGAAAGCACUCCUUAAUGGCAUCUCCUCUUUUUUACAUUUAUUGUCCACUGAAAACUUAAGCUCAGACCUGGUUCAGAAGUAUUACCAGAAGGCAGAAGAGAUAUUAAAGCUGUUGAAGCCUAUACUUGAUGCCAUUGUUGAUUCUGAAAUGGCUUCUGAUGAAGUGCUUAAUAAGGCAUUUGAUGAAUUGGGAAAAUCUAUUGAUGAAUUGAGGGAGCUCUUUGUAAACUGGCAACCAUUAUCGAGUAAAGUUUAUUUUGUAAGUGCCUAGCCAUAUUUUUAUGAUUUUAUGUAGGCCUAAUAAACAAAAAACCCAAAACUUUUUGGAAAAUUGUACUUGUACCCGAACCUCCUAACUAAUAUUAUUUUACCCUAGAAUUAGUUGAAAUUAUAUGCAUUUGGACAAAAUAUACUGAAAAAUAGACUAUUAUACAUCUCUUUUUUUUUUUUUUUUCGGCUACUCAUCUCCAAACUCAACUCUAUCAUAAAGCUCCAUUAGUCUCUUCUUAAUCGCAAAAAAUUAUGGAUACAAGUUUAACCAAAUGUGUAUAAUUGCAACUAAUUUUCGGUAUUAGGGUAAAAUAGUCUUUGAGGUUUGAUUACAGUUGUGUUUUUUUUGGUGAUUAGGCCUUUUAAAUAGCAUAUUUAAGCUGCUUUAUAUUUUGGGGGAAAUACCUAACCUGAGCUUGCUUAUGACAAUGCAUGUUUGACCAAUAUAUUUUACCUUAAUGAGAAUUGUUAAUAUAAUUUCUUUAUUUAUAAUCAGCAUGUUUUGAUUUGUACUUUGCAUGAGCUGAGAUUGCUGUUUGUGGCACAGCCUGUCUUACACUCCCCUGAAACUCCCUCUGCAGAAGUGUUACUAAAUAAUUUGUAUGCAAUUCAUUAUGUUCUGAUCCACAAGUUUUUUCAGGUCUUCUGCUUUCAAUUAGUCUCUAAGUCUCUAUAGAAAACAUAAAUAUGCUGGUAUUUGAGAGUAGGUUUUGGUUGUAAUUUAUCUGUGACGUGGCAGCUUUAUUAGAUGCCUGAGACUAAUGUAUUAAUGGUGGUCAGUCUAUCUAUAACAAGAGGGGUGGCUUAAAGUUUGAGGUUGUGCUAUAGUGAUCACCAUUUUACGGUGAAACUAAUGAUGUGAAAUGCGGAGAUUGGUGUUGGUAUGGGGUUUGGUUAAGCAGUAAGUGUGUACAAGAGAGAUAUGGAGUGGGAGAGGGGUCGGAUAAAAUUCUGCUGAGAUGGUGGGCAACCUGUUUCACCCUUGUAAGGAUAACAAUUAUGGUGUUGGGAGUUGCAAUGUAACAGAGAAUAAUCAUGAGAUGAAUUCUUGAAAAUCUGUGUUCCUUGUUUUAGGCUAAAAGGAAAAUUGCUUUGUUUGCAUUCAACUGAAGCUUGGACAUCAUCAUCGUUAUGAUUUUUAUAAAAUAGCUGUCGUCUCCAAAUAAUCAAGGCAUUUAAUAUACAGUGACUAUCAUCUUUUGGAGUUGUUCAAGUAAAAUGCAACUUUUUUCAGUUGUCAUUUUAUUAGUGUUGUCUUUAUGCUUGUCAUUCUCAUCAAAUAUAGUGUAGGUUUUUGAGAUACCUGAGUUGUUGUGGUAUUGCGGCUUUGAAGAUUAAAUUGCGAUUGUAAGUUAGCCUCUGUUAUUGACAUAUAUCAUUCAUACUUCUAGUGGGAUCUCUUUCUUUAUUUGUUGAUAAACUUAUCCUAUGUUCAAACCCUUAAAGGAGGCUAAAGUAUCCUUUUUAAAUCAUUUUUUAAUCAUCGUAUCAGUGUAAAUUGGUGACUUGACUGAAUCAGUUAUCAGUGCAAAGUUUCAAUUUAUCUUGCUGUUAACAUCGCUUAACUUAUACUUUUGUUCCAUUUUAAUGUUCCUUUCCUACUAAUUUCAAAAAAUUAUUACCUUAGAAUUGAUUAUCUAGGAGGCAUUUUGCUUGCAUGUAUUGUUCCUUGAUGAAUAAAAAUAUAACACUCUCUUCUUAGGUUGAUUCAUAAUGAAUGCAGCAACUCGCUGAAAAAGUGAAAAAAACAAAAGGAGCAAGAGAAUAAUGCUGAACAUAUGCAACCUUUCUUAUGGAUGAGGGUUUUUGACCAUCAAAUUUUUUCUUUUUGUCUAGAUUCUGCAAGCAGAAUCAUUAAUAUCAAAGGUUCGGACUUUUGGCCUGGAUAUUUUUCAGCUGCUGAAGUCUUCUCCUCGACAUCUUCCUGAUGAAUUAAGUUCAUCAUCUCUUGAGGUAAUCAUCCCUGAAAACUUGUUUGAAGCUUCUGUUGUUAAGUUACAGAUCAUUGAAACAUUGAAGAAUCAUGCAUUUGGAAUAUGAGAGAAUUAAUUUAUAAAUUUAUUCAGGUUCUUAUAAAUUUAUGUUUAAUAAGUAUUGACAUUCUUGAUUGCAGUACUGCUUACAGAAAAUUAAGCAAAUGGGAUAUGAGCAAACAUCCUCUGUUGUCAGAGAAGCUAUUAGGGACCAAGCGGAGAGCGUUGGACCCAGCUCAGAGAUCCUAGUGAAAAUUGCAGAGAGCCUAAGCUUGAGGUCCAAUCAGGAGAUUCUGAUUGAAGCAGUGGCCCUUGAGAAGUUGAAGGAGAAUGCUGAACAAGCUGAAAAUCCCAGGGAAGCUGAGUUAUUUGAUCAAAUGAUUUCUCUUGUGACUCACAUGCAUGAUCGACUUGUCCUGAUGAAACAGUCCCAGACCAGUAGCCCAGUCCCAAUACCCGCUGAUUUUUGCUGUCCUCUCUCUCUUGAGUUGAUGACUGAUCCGGUGAUUGUGGCAUCAGGGCAAACCUAUGAGCGUGCAUUCAUUAAGAACUGGAUAGAACUUGGGCUCACUGUUUGCCCCAAGACAAGGCAGACUCUGACUCACACCAAUCUGAUACCUAAUUACACCGUGAAGGCACUCAUUGCAAAUUGGUGCGAGUCAAAUAAUGUGAAGCUGCCUGAUCCUGCGAAAUCUGUGAGCUUCAAUCAGCCUUCACCACUUCUUGUACACGCUGAGUCUGGCACACCCAGGGAUUUACAUGUUGUUUUUCCUCAUUCCAGGGGAAACCAACCGAUGUCUCCUGAGUCAACUCGUUCAACUGGUUCUCCUGGCAGGAAUUGGAUAUCUUCUGGUGCAAUUCAUCGAGAGGGAGCUUCUCCACUUCAUCCCCGUUCUACUUCUGAGGGUUCAUUGUCGGGUAUAAUAGGAAAUGAACGGGGUUUGGACUUGAUGAGAAUAUCAUUAACCAAUUCUGAGGAAAGGUCUGCUAACUUGGAAGGAAAGAGCUUGGAUUCAGUUGUCCACCACUCUCUAUCUCCAUCUAGAAAGGAAGUUUCAAAUUCUUUUAGAGCUGAUGAACCAAUAGCUCAGAGCCACAGUAGAAGUGCCUCAGCCUCCAGCACACUUCCUAAUGCAAACUUUUCUCAAGGAGCACAGGGAGAUAAUAAUGAGUCUUCAGAGGUGUCAAACCAUCUUGCUUCCUAUAGCAGUGAUAAUUCUGGGGAGGUAAAAGCAGAACCACAGGCUUCUACUGCCUCAAACACCUCUCACAGAGAACAUGAAUUCCCACCACGGUCACGAAGUCAAACUAUCUGGCGCCGGCCAUCAGAUAGGCUUGUUCCAAGAAUAGUUUCUUCCCCUGCUAUUGAAACAAGAGUUGAUCUUUCAGGUGUAGAAACCCAAGUUCGGAAGCUGAUUGAGGACUUGAAUAGUGAUUCAGUUGAUAUUCAAAGAGAGGCAACAUCUGAACUCAGGUUACUUGCGAAGCACAACAUGGAUAAUAGGAUUGUUAUCGCACAAUGUGGGGCAAUUAGUUUGUUAGUUAACUUACUUCGAUCAACUGACUCAAGGAUUCAGGAAAAUGCUGUCACAGCACUUCUUAACUUGUCAAUUAACGAUAACAAUAAAACCGCUAUUGCUAAUGCAGAUGCUAUUGAACCUCUGAUUCACGUUUUAGUAACUGGAAGUCCAGAGGCUAAGGAGAACUCAGCUGCCACUCUCUUUAGCCUUUCAGUGAUUGAGGAUAACAAGGUCAGAAUAGGACGAUCUGGAGCUAUUGGUCCUUUGGUUGAUUUAUUGGGGAAUGGAACUCCAAGGGGAAAGAAGGAUGCAGCUACAGCAUUGUUUAAUUUGUCAAUAUUUCAUGAAAACAAGGCUCGGAUUGUACAAGCUGGUGCUGUUAAGCACCUUGUAGAGUUGAUGGACCCAGCAGCUGGAAUGGUUGAUAAGGCAGUAGCUGUUUUGGCUAAUCUUGCAACAAUUCCUGAGGGAAGGGUUGCAAUAGGUCAGGAAGGUGGAAUCCCUGUUCUGGUUGAGGUUGUUGAGUUAGGUUCUGCAAGAGGGAAAGAAAAUGCAGCUGCUGCUCUUUUGCAGCUUUGCACAAACAGCAGUAGGUUCUGCAACAAUGUUCUCCAAGAAGGCGCUGUGCCACCAUUAGUGGCAUUAUCACAGUCUGGCACCCCAAGGGCUAAAGAAAAGGUAUACUGUGAGAUAUGUUUUUCCAUAAUCAAGGUGUUGUUUUUCUUUAUCUUCUCAGAAGGUUAUAUUACGAGCUUUUGUUUGCUUGCAGGCUCAGGCACUUCUUCAGUACUUCAGAAACCAACGACAUGGUAAUGCUAGGGGCUGAUUUGUUUAAAGAUCAUCCUGUCAAUGCAUCUGAGGUUUUGAUUCGGUUCUAUACAUAGUGUGUACAUUUGAUAUUGCAAAUAACGCAAUUUUUUUUUUUCUGCUUGGAUUUUACAUGAUUUGUAGAGGAAAUUGAUUUACAGGGGACGCGAUUGAGUCCUUGUGAAAAAUGUUUUACAUGUUAAUGUGAGUUAAGUCUUUUUAGAGAGAUGGAGAAAGGCUGAGUAUUCGGGCGUUGUUGUGUCUCAUUUCUUUCUAUGCAUGACUUUUGUUGUCUCAGGAUGUUUUAGGAUAUUCAUUUAUUAUUUUUCUUAAUGCUGCCAGUAAAUUGAGGAAUCUUUUCUAAUUAUGCUGGUCUUGCAAGCCAAACACAUUUGGAAUUCGGAAUUGCAAUUGUUGAAGUUGAAACUAAGCAAAGUGCAAACUAGUUCCAUAUCUUACAUUUCUCUUUCUUCCUUUUUUUUUUUUUUUUUUUUUUUUUUCAACUUGUAUUUCAAAAAGUUUUUCUGACUUAUAGCUUUGCAUUGAUAUUAAUUAUCAAAGCGGAUAUUUGAAAUAAAAAAUUCAUACAUUCACUAGUUCCAUACCUUCACUAGUUUAGGUCGAGGGCGUUGGUGGUGGUUGUUGAUAUAAUAUAAAUAUAUGUUUUAUUUAUUUUUUUUUUAAGAAGAAAUCAAAGUAAAAAUUUCAUUAAGAGGAAACUGUAUACAUAUAUAUAUGAUACAGAUUUAGAUGUUUCUAUGUUUUUAUAUUUUUGUAUAGAAAGUCUAAUAAUAAUCUAUUUAUACAAAGAAUAAAAAAAUACAAUUUUGAUUUGAAGUAUUGAUUGAGUUGAUAGAACAUAAUAUUUGUGUAAAAGGUGAUCGCUUGCUUCACUUGGGCGCUAUUUAUAGCCAUUAUUCGACUCUAUAAGUCCAAUUUGAUUUCUUUCGAAAAUCUGCACUUAUUUUUGCAUAAACGCUAGGCAAAAUCAUCAUUAUAAUGACAAGAAUAACUUAUAAUUAGAUCUGACAACAAAACCAAAAUCUUGUUCUUCUAGAACCAAGAUCUUCCCUCUUGGCAAGAGAUUAUGAAUGGCUCCACGUAGCCAAUUUUGAUUGGUUCCCAGUAUAUAGGGUGACAAUAAAUCUCAAUAACUGAAUAAUAAUAUACAGAUUUGAGAAUUAUUUGCAAAAAUAUAAAUAAAAAAAGAAAAGAAAAAGAGGUGACCAUCAGUGAAAGCUCAUCGGCAGUCGCCCAUGGAAGGGAAGAAGAAAAAUAGAGAGCGCAUAGGUUUUUUUUUUUUUUUUUUGGAGAACAAAUAAUUACAUCAACUUGAUUAGAUUGACGAAAUUAUUUUAUUUAACUAUAUUAAAUGAGAGAUAACAUAUUAAAGUUCACAUAUUAAACGUUAUAAUUAUUAUGACUAGAGAUUUUUCAAAGAAUUUAUAGAAAGAAAAUUAAAUUUUCAAAAUCCUUUUGGACGUUCAAAUCAUGUAGAAAGACGAUAAAAGAAAAUUUAAUCCAUCCUAAUGAAUAGUAACGUUCUUACUAAAAAAUGAUUGAGUAUUUAAAUUAACAUGAAAUAUAAAAUUAUAAAAUAGAAUGUAGUCACAUAAUUAUUUUAAAUGAUUAAUUAUAGUAUAUAUAUAAUUAAUUAAGAAAGGCAAAUUCCCAAGGUCCUGUCAGUCACCGACGCGUGACUCUAAACAGACCCCACUUAGAGACCUCCUUUGGUAGUUGACACAUGGGAUGAUAAUUUAACCUACCAGAUUUUGGCGGGUUUAGGUAAUAUAGAAACGGAUUUGAGGUGGGUUUGGAUUGUGAUUUUAAUACAUGCAUUGGGUUUGGAGUGGAUAUGAGUUCAGGUGGGCGAGUAGUGGAUCAUUUAAAUUAAUUUAACUCCAAGCUACUUAAUAUUCUUGUAUAAUCUUUUUUUUUUUUAAAUCUUGUAUAAAAUAUACGUACAAUAUAUAUAUACCGAUAACUAUAAUAAUUUAUAAUUUAAAUAUUUAUUAAUGAAUAAAAUAUUAUUGGAAGUAAUAUAAUCUUAUGAAUAAGUAAACUUUUAAUAAAAUUAUGUCAAUUAAAUUAUAAUAUUUUAAUAAAUUGAAUUUAGUUUUUUUUUUUCAUAAAAUAUAUUAAACAAAAUCAUAUAUUUAGUAUUCAUGUCGUGUUUUAAUAAUUUAAUUGAAUAUUUUAUUGUUUGGUAAUUAUGAAAUUUAUUAAACAUAAAAAAAGUUUUUAAUUGAAUAGAAUGUUAAUAAUGUUAUAAUUAAAAUUUUUUAAAGCUACUUAUCAACAUCAAUAUUAAACUUUUAAUGAUAAUUAUAAUUCUAUCUUAAUUUGAAAUAUAACUCGUGUGAAAUGUGAAAUCUAGAUAGACUUUUAGUAAAUUAUAAUAUAACUCAUAUAAAAUAUCACUAAUAAAUUUAUAGACAUAAUUACAAUUAGAUAUUAGUAAAUAUCUUUUUAUUUUUUUAUUAGUAUCAUUAUAUAUACUAGUAUACUUAAACUUAGAAGUCUACUGUAUAUAUGUCACGACCCAUUUUAUUUCAUCGAAAUUUCUGAACGUUCUGUUUUUGGGCUUGGGCUCAAUUCAAAUUUGGGCUCAAGUUAGAAAUGCUCGGUCUUCACGACCCAUACUAUAAAAAAAAUUCGAAUUUUUGAUUUAAUAAAAAAUUCUAAAGUUUUGAAAAUAAAAAUUCGGGAUAUUACAAUCUCCCCCCCUUAAGACAAUUCGUCCUCGAAUUGAAUCUAGUGGGAAAGAAUAAGAAUGGAUGCAUGGAAAUUUUAAAGUUAUAUGAAAUUGCUUCCAAUACCAAGGAGACAGCUCGCGAGCAAAAAUAUAAAUCGAGGAAACGAAGUGAAUGAGGUAUUCUGCUUGUAUUUCUACCACCAAUCAUAUUUAAACCAAAAUUUCGUUCAAGCUAUACAAUACCACCUAGCUGAUACUUAUAGGAAGCUUUGUUACUUUAGCCUCUAAACUAUCAUCGGACAGUUGCUAGAAAAUCUUUCUUUAAAUAAAAAUCUUACAAUUAACCGAGCUUUACAACAAAAUGCUUAAUACUUAUAUUUUUCCCAAAUUAAAUUUUAUUACACAUUUCUUUAUGAAAACCAAAUACAUAAUUUGCAAAAAGUAAAACAAUUUGAAAUUUAAUUUGAUUUAUUUAUUUAACAUAUAUUAUGACGAAAUCUUUGCUUAAUCAAAGUCGAAAAACUGUUACUUUAAUCCAAGAUUUUAAGAAAAAUUUUCUUGAAAUUUUCAUUGUCUACAGGGUUAUUCGAGCUCACUCUCAGUUCUUUUAUACAAGUUCUAUUCUUGUUAAAAUACUUUUAUCGUACACUAGCGCAAUUAUUUAAAUAGCUCAUUUACUAUGGACAUUCCUGCACUAUUANNNNNNNNNNNNNNNNNNNNNNNNNNNNNNNNNNNNNNNNNNNNNNNNNNNNNNNNNNNNNNNNNNNNNNNNNNNNNNNNNNNNNNNNNNNNNNNNNNNNNNNNNNNNNNNNNNNNNNNNNNNNNNNNNNNNNNNNNNNNNNNNNNNNNNNNNNNNNNNNNNNNNNNNNNNNNNNNNNNNNNNNNNNNNNNNNNNNNNNNNNNNNNNNNNNNNNNNNNNNNNNNNNNNNNNNNNNNNNNNNNNNNNNNNNNNNNNNNNNNNNNNNNNNNNNNNNNNNNNNNNNNNNNNNNNNNNNNNNNNNNNNNNNNNNNNNNNNNNNNNNNNNNNNNNNNNNNNNNNNNNNNNNNNNNNNNNNNNNNNNNNNNNNNNNNNNNNNNNNNNNNNNNNNNNNNNNNNNNNNNNNNNNNNNNNNNNNNNNNNNNNNNNNNNNNNNNNNNNNNNNNNNNNNNNNNNNNNNNNNNNNNNNNNNNNNNNNNNNNNNNNNNNNNNNNNNNNNNNNNNNNNNNNNNNNNNNNNNNNNNNNNNNNNNNNNNNNNNNNNNNNNNNNNNNNNNNNNNNNNNNNNNNNNNNNNNNNNNNNNNNNNNNNNNNNNNNNNNNNNNNNNNNNNNNNNNNNNNNNNNNNNNNGGUGUACUGGGUGAUCAGGCCAUUACACCAAUUUCCAACUGAUCCUCUACUUCAAAAUUUUAUAGAGGGGAUUUAGCAAACUCAAAAUAUUUCGUUUAUAAAUGUCAGUUACCCAGACCUAUUUUAAUUUCCUAUUAUUUAUGUACCUUUAGUUCUCAUCCUAAGUUUGAUACAGAUUUCCUUCCAUCCUCGUGCACGAUGCGUCCAUCGGCACUAAAAUGGAAUUCAAUCCAGACUACAGCUCCUUUGUUGGUUACGGCCGAUCCCAACAGAGGAGUUCUCUAUUUAAAUUCCUAUGUUCCGCAAUUGAUUCCUAAGUCCCAACUUACGCUCUGAUACCAACUUUGUCACGACCCAUUUUAUUUCAUCGAAAUUUCUGAACGUUCUGUUUUUGGGCUUGGGCUCAAUUCAAAUUUGGGCUCAAGUUAGAAAUGCUCGGUCUUCACGACCCAUACUAUAAAAAAAAUUCGGAUUUUUGAUUUAAUAAAAAAUUCUAAAGUUUUGAAAAUAAAAAUUCGGGAUAUUACAAUAUAGAUUAAGGAUUACAGCAACCAUAAUUAAUUACAACCUACUAGGUAUAAUAUCUAAUAAAAAAAUAUUAAACUUAAUACUUUGUAUAAUAUUUUGUUAUUACACUUACUAUAAUAUUGAAAUAUAAUUAUAGCCUUAUAAUUAAUUAAUAAUUAAUAACUAAUAAUAACAAUAAUAAUAAUAACAACUUUAGGAAUAAUAAUAACUUUAAUAAUAAUAAUAACAAAAAUAACUAUUUUACCGUCAAAACGACGUAAUUUUGGUGUAGGAGGUUUAAUUGAAUCCACAACCAACACAACGUCGUUUUAGCCUAGGGUUGGAUUUUAAUCAUACAAACAGAAAGUUCUCUCAAACUCAAGUUAAACGUAUUCUCCUCCCUCCUCCCUUCCCUGCGCCGCUCGUUUUCUUCACUUCUACAGCCACUGUCUUACUUGAAGACCUUCCCGUUGCUUUCGUUCUUGGCCAUCGCCUCCGCAGCAGAUGUGCUCUUCAAGUGUACAAGUGCUCUUCAGCCGCAGGUUCGUUCUUGAUUUUUUUUUUAUUUCAUUCUCAUUUUUUAUUUUCGUUUUGCAUCGUUCCUUUUUUUUUUCUAUUUUAUUUUUGUAAACACGUAUAAAAAGACAGAAAGGAGGAAUUGUUGAAUUAAUUUAUGGGUUCAGCUUUUUGUACAAAAUGUAAAAUCUCUACAUGCAAAAAAUAAAAUGUAUUUCUGCAACAAUUCCAUUUGUUUGAUAUGAUGAUAAUUUGCUUUUACUCUUAAUUCGUUGAUGUCUUGAGAAUGCUAUGAUUGUACCAAUUUAUGAAUGGCCAUUAUACAAGGGAAUUUAGAUUUGCGGAAUUGUAAUAGUUGGUGAUUAAACGGGUAUUUAAACGGAUUCGGCUAGUACGCGGGGUAUUUCUAAACGGAUUUGGGACGGGUUUGGGUAUUAUUGGUUUGUUUCUUAACGGAUUCGGGUGCUUACAUUAUUAACGGAUUCGAAUUCGGAUAGUUUAUUUUUUGCGGGUACCCGCCCCGCUGCCAACCAAGUUGACACUGACGCAACCUUUGAACCGCCUUUAAGAGUCCAUUAAUCUUGCGUCUGCUUCGCUGCGCACGCCUUAAACUGUAUUUUCGUUGCUCGCAUACAGUCAUUAACCACCACGAUUCUGUCAGUCACCAGCUCGACUAUUAACACCGGAGGUGGCAUUCGCUUUUUCAGCAUAACUUAGUCGAUCCCAAUUUUUUGUCUGCGUAAGUGUUAAUUGAUCUUUCUUUGUGUGUUACGGUUUUAGGGUUUUGUUUAAAGCUUCCUCUAUUAAUUCAUUUUGGGUUAUUUUUGUUGUUUCUUGAAUUUUCUAUCACAUAAAGAGUUCAAAUUCUCUCUCUCUCUCUCUCUCUCUCAUGCAAUUUCAAGAUUUUGGCAUGAGAUGCUUUCAAGAUUAUUUUUUUCAUUUGGAGUCUUGUUUCUAGGAAUUCUGUUGAUUUUCCAUAUAUUUUGAUGAAACUGAGCAAGAUAUGCUGUAGGUUUCUAUUGUUCAUUUAUGCUUUAGCUUGCUUGUCUAGGGAACUUUCUUUUUUCGUUUUUGUGUGCAUUUAUAUUUCUAAGGAUUAGCUGGCUCUGAAGUCAAGUGUAGCUGCCCUUUCCUCAUCUAUGGACGGAGAUGGGUAGAUUGAGCUUGUGCUAUCAAGCCGACAAUUAACUGCUCUUUAGUUAUUUUGUUUAUCAUGGCAUCCAUUUUUUGUCAUUGAAGAAAGGAAAAUGUUAACCGUGCAACUUUAUGAGUCAAAUGAUUUUAUGUUCUUUCAGUGAACAAAUCAUGAGAAGAGAACAUUUUGAAGUUUGAAUUUUAUGUUCCUUGCUAUAAAGAUGACUACAUUUAAUUCAGUUUAUUGGAUACUCCCUUUGUCACAAAAUAUAUGUUGUUUAAGGUUAUUGCAGAAAGAUUGAGGAAGCAAUUAGUUCUCCUAUAUUAUAACAAAUUCAAGGGUAAUUUGCCCAAAUUAUCCUUUAUCUCAAAACCAAUAGUUACUUUUGAAAGUAUUUAUUGUAACUAAUCUAAACAAGGCUAACAUCGGAAAAACAUCAUUUAUUAUUUUUUUAAAAAUACUCAAAACGACUUAUAUUUUGGGACAACAUAAUCACUCAAAAAUGACUUAUAUUUUGGAGUAAAGGGAGUAAUUGAAAUAAAGGUGAACUCAUCUAGACUAAUGCUUAGUUUCAAAAUAGUUUGAAUCAGCUAUGUGAAUGGUUUUUUCCCCAUUUUUCUUGGACUGCAUCCUACAAGUUAUACUAUGUCUCCAAUUUCAGGGGCAAAACUAGGUUAUAGGGUGGGGUGGCUGUGGUCCCACUAAGAUUUUUUCUAAUUAUAGUUUUAUAUUUUAAUAACCCCCCCCCCCCCCCAAAAAAAAAAAAAAAAAAAAAAAAAAAAAAUCCUCCCCGAUAAAACAUGUUUUAUUUUAGUUUAAGUUACUACAUUAUCUUGGUUAGCUUUCUUCAUAUUGUCUGACCUCUGUCUUAAAAAUUAAAGAUUAGCUUCCCAUUGUGCAGAAAUUAAUGAUCCCUCCAAGUUUUGUUUUGGUUUUCAGUUGCAUUUUCCUAUCUUCCAAUUGAUUUUCACUUGUAUCCUUUCCACCAUCCCACACACGGCCACCCCCCCCCAAAAGAAAAAAAAAAAAAAAAAAAAAAGAUGUGAAGUUCUAGUUAUUACCUUGUUUAGUUGCUUUGCCAUGGAAAUCUCAAUAACUAAACUUUUUACUAAGAGAUUAUUUUGUUGCAGAUGAAUGUAUAAUAAUCUUGGAGCAAAUUAAUAUGGGGCCUGAUUUGGAGAAAUCAAAAGCUUUGGCUAGUAAAGACAAUGGAGGCGUAUCCCAAGUUCAAGAAGAUAAGUUUGCGAAAUGUAUAAGUAAUUAUGAGGACAAUAAUUUCCAUGAGGAAGCUUUAAAUUAUGACCAAGCUAAACUAAGCGAGGAUAUGGAUAUUAAUAUAAUUGAGUGUACAAAAUCUGGUGACAAUGGACAAAUUGAAGCUCGAUGUGAGGAUGCAACUGAGAGUAUGAGUUCUUUUGGUGACACAUUAUCUGAGACUGAGAAUCUUGCAGUGUUAGGUGAUGCUGAAGUUGAAUCACAGUGCUGUCUCUGUGAUGCAGCAGCAUCGGUAUUUGAUGGAGGAGCAUUUCAAAUGAGGUACUUACUGUUUGAUUCAAUUGGUUCAUUACAUUUUAAUGCUCAUGUGUAGGUAACUUUCUGAUGAAAGAUAAAGAUAUGUGAUAUCAUGGCCCUCUAUUUUGGUGUAUAGUAUUGUGAGUCAUUGUCAACUAACUUUUCUUGGUGAAAUGACUUGUUUGUUGUGUAGCUGGAGGAAGUAUAGUCAUCCAUAAUUAAAAGAAAGUUUUACUACCUUCUUUUGUAGAAAUAUUAACGAUGAUCUUUUUGAUGAUGAAUUUGGGAUGUAUUUGAGCAUAUUUAAGUUGGGGUUUCUCUUCAAAUUUUUCUCUAUUCUCCACAGUAAUAUUAGCGCAUCAUUGUUUUUACUUUGUUUUGGAUUAUAAGCUGCAUCAUUGGUAAGUGAGAUCAAGGGUGGAGAGGGAGCAUCUCGGUUUUGCCUAUAGUAACUUAUCUUUAAAUGUUAACUCAGUUUAUCCUUAAUACAUGAUGCUCAGUUCAGUUGUGAGUAUAAUAUGGGCAAAUUAUCUUAAGAAUCAUUAAAUCCAAUAACUAAAUUAAUGUGAUUACAUGGAUUGCCUCCACCUCUUGUUAAAGAAGCACAAGAAUUGAAAAGAUUAACUAGCCAUUGUAAGUGUUCUGGAACAUUUGUCUUUGACUAAGGUUUUUAGUUUGAAACCUGCAUGGCGGAGGAUUUUAACCAUCACUGACAUUCAGAAAAGGGAACAAAACCAUGGAACAAUGAGACUAAACGAAAACGCUGUCAAAUCCACUCGUUGCCUUUUACUAAAACACUUUGGGUUACGCAAUUAUGGAGGUUGGCUUGCUGCUAAAGUCCCAACUUGUGAUUGGUCACAGGUCUCUUGAUAGUUGACUUCCUUCCCUUGUGGGCUAUUUUGAAUUAACCAUAAAAUUUGCUCGUGACAACGAGCUUAUUGGAGAGAACUUCUGAUCUCCUAAAACCAAACUUUUAAGUUUAAUCUUUGCGCCUUUUGUUCACGCCCAUGUUCUUUAAAUAUCAUGGCAGUGGACAGAACCAACUAUAAACUAGUAAACUAGAAAACUGAAAAUAACAACCUAUAAGGAAGCUAGAAAUAACUGCCAAUUAUGUAGAAAAACUACACUACAGCCACAAACUGAUUUAGCUACUUAAUCCAAGCUUUCAGCUGCUGCUGCUAAGUUUUCAUUACCAUGGGUAUAAUGCCUAUAAACAUAUCCAAACAAGAUAAUUUUAAUACUCCUUGAACCAGUGUCCUCAGUUUGCUGUGUUGAUUCCAGGUUCUUAACACUUCCUCUGUUCUCCGUCAUGAGAAUUUCUUUGGUAGUUGCUCCAAGUUUGUUGGCAUGGAAGGUUAUACACUACUAUUUUCGCAAGAAUUCAGUAGUUUCAAUCCCUCUUUUUUGAAGGGAUUUAAUAGGAGAGCCUUUAGGCGCGGAUCUUUCUCUAUGCUUAAAGACAUCUUGAUUAGUACCUUUUACUUCAGUGUGCAGUACUAUAGAUAGGCAAACUGCUCUUGACUUCUUAAUCAUGUAACUUAAUAUUGACUUUAUUUUUGUUAUUGGGGUAUGCUUCCUCUUGGACCCAUCAAUGCUAUUUACCACAAUCUUUUGUGUUUCAAACAUGUGUGCUGCACCUAGACUAAGUUAUUGGUUAAUCUUUGAGUAGCGCUGUUACACCAUCAGGGAUGAUUUUUGUACAAUGAUCUAGGUCUUAGAUUCCUUGUGGAGUGAUGGAAAAUUGCCCUGCGCAUAAAGGCAGCAUUGACCUUUCCUUGGAAAGUCUUAAUGGGAUUGCACAUGUAGCUCUAUUACAGAUAAGCUGAAAGAUCUAUGUCCACCUUGUUGUCGGGCAAUCCUUUAGGGGGAUUGCCGCUAAAAAUUCUCUCAUGUCUUAACACCACUUCUGUUUCUAAUUUUCAAUAUACUGAAGGAGAAUUGAUUAUGAUAAUAAAAUAUCCAAUGAUUCCAUCUCAGAAAAAGUGUAAAUACCAAUUUGAUCCUUUAAGUGGACUGAUGUGGUUCUCUCUUUCUGGUAGAGAAAGCAUUAAUUGUGCUCCUCUCUAUUGACUUCCUCCUUAUUUUACAUGUUUGAAUUUCCAUGGUUAUACAAAGGAAAAUUAGCUUUUGGAGUCAAUUUCUAAUUUUAUCAUUUCAUUGAAUAUUCAUGCUUUGUUCAACUAUGGAAUAUUCAGUCCCUUGUUUAAUUUAUUUUCUCCAAUUGUUCAGGAGGAAAAAGUUGACAGACCAUUGGAGGAGAUUUAUACGUCCUCUUAUGUGGCGAUGCAAGUGGAUAGAAUUGCAAAUUAAAGAAUUUCAGUCCCAGGCGCUUAAGUAUGACAGAGAACUUGCAGAACAUGAACAGAGAAAGCAGUUUGAUUAUGGUACGUUUUUAAUAGAAGGAAUUGAUGCAAAGUCAACACCAUUUUCAAGUUGUACUAAAAGGAACAAAGUCAUGAAAAGAAAGAAAAGAAAAAGAAUUGAGGAGGCAACUGACAUAUCAUCAUAUAUGCUACAACAUAACCUCUUUUCCUAUUAUGGUAAGCAUUCCGAUUUGCCUAUUACCUGUAGCAUUUGCAUCCCGAUGACAAGCAUUUUCCUAGGAGAGUAAUGUCUUUUCAUAUUCCCUUUUCUUAUUCUUUUCCCCUUUUCUUUCUUGACCAGAAACUAGGAAGUCUUCUGCCAAUGGUGCUUCUAUGAAUGACAAUUGCAGCAAUAAUCCAGGUAAGGAGUUAAAAUUUGUUUUGACUUCGUUUUUUAACUGAAAUUUUUAAAUGAUAAAACUGAGUAAUCUAGAAAUGCCUUAUAUACUGUGUUUAGCAUCUGUUCAUGGAUUUGAUGCUUCCAUAUGCUAGUCUUUGAUACAUUUCCUUUUGAGCCUCAACUUGAUUGAAGUAGUUAGUCUAAUAAAGGACUAGAGACAAUCACACGUUAGCAAAUGUGUGCAUGUAUUCUAACAUGUUUCUAUAUGAUGACAACAACAUAUAGCUCUGUGUGAUAGAGAGCGCACUUCUGAUUACUUGAUUGUGAGACGACGUGCAUCAAAAUUUACCUUGUUUUCUUGAUGUUGAUUGUAGAAUUUAUUGUUUUGUCUUCCCUUUUAAACAACUUCUUCCAGUUUCUCUUUCAAGUUUCUACAUAUUUGUACUUCUGAUGUUUUUUGUUUCCUGCAAUGGUAAAGUAUACCUCAUUAUUAUUCAAAUCGAGACUAAGUAGAAGAUUAUAAGCAAAAUUGAUAUUAUGCUGUCAGAAUUUAGAGUUGGGUUUAUUGGCAUAAAGAUCUUAAAUAUUAUUCCAAAAAAGAUGGUGCCAUGAAAAAUAGAAUUGAUAUAAUGAUUGGUCAAGUGCUUACAUUCAUCUUGAACUUUCUUAUUUCAAUCUUGUGGGACCUCAAGUUUGAUAAAGAUCUAUUAUACACUUGAACUUAUGAAUUUUGGACUUUGCACACCUUCCUGCACAAAUAAUAACAUCUUUUAGAGUUUUUGGCUUUUAUGUGCAAAACAUGAUUUGAUGUAUGAUGAGCACUACUUCUGAACAAUAAUUUUUUCAUUUUUCAACGAUCUAAUAAGUAUUUAACUAAUCUAAUUUUCUAAGUUGACGUGUUCAAUAAAAUGAUGUUGCGAACUAAAGUGUUUAACAAAUGUAAUUUCAUAAGUUGAAGUAUUCGAUGGUUCCAAGAAAAAAUUGAGAGUUCUAUAAGGUUAAAACAAUAAAGUGCAGAGGUAAAUUUAUGUAUUCAGCCUAUAAUGAAUGGAUGUUAUCUAGAUCAGAAACUGCAUGCUGCACACACAUCGGGAAACUUUUUUUUUUUUUUUUAAAUUAUAUAUUCUCUAUUGACUAUUAUUGCUAAAAUUCAGUUUAUCAUGUGCCUAACUUUUCUUAUCUGGGUCUUUUUCAGAUAAGGCAAUCAAUGUUAAUGAUGAGUUUGGCUUUCAAGAUGGAUGGGCAUCUCUUGAGACCAAAGGAAUUGAUAAUAUCUGUGAAAAUAUUCUUUUGAAAAUUGAAGCAUUACAAUUGCUAGUUCGCAAGUUGAAGGUCCGGAUUGAGAAGGUGGUGAGUGAAAAUCCUGGGAAGUUUGCUUCUGUUAAUAGGCUGAUCAUGCCUGUAUCUUGUGAUGCAUUGACCAGUUCUGAUCAAAAUCCUGCUUCCCCUCUUGAAAAUGAUGAUAGAAUGCCUGUUAGAUCUCUAUACACCAUCUCACAGUUUCUCCCUGAAAGUGCUGUUUCAAGUCACGGAGAGGUCACCACUCAUCCUGAUAUGAUUGAAAGCACAGAUCAGCCUGUGGUUGGGGUUUCAUGUGAAGAUGUAAGUUUCAUCUCUCUCUCUCUCUAUCCCCAACCCCCCCCCCCCCCCUUUCAAAAAAAAAAAAAAAAAAAAACCAAUCCAUUCUGCCGUCCUUUCGUGCUAGAUAAACAGUGUUGUUAAGUGUAUACUGGGCAAUGCUUCUUUCAUUCCCUGGCAUAUUUUUGGUGUAUACAGCACUUACAACGGGAGGUGCUGAAGGCUUAAAAUACUCGCCUUUACUUGUCUAUUUCUGUUAAGGAUUAGUUGUAAAUAGAGUUCUAUUAGGAGUUAGAUUCCUAAUUAGUUUAUGAUUUGUAUUCCUAAAUAGCUAGCGUAGGAAUUCCUUAUAUAUAGACCUAUGUAAUCGAUUGAUGAGAUACAAGAAAUACAAUUACAAUAUAUUCUCUCAACAUGGUAUUAGAGCCUUCCAUUAAAAAAAAAAAAAAAAAAAUCCCCAAAACCCCCUUAUNNNNNNNNNNNNNNNNNNNNNNNNNNNNNNNNNNNNNNNNNNNNNNNNNNNNNNNNNNNNNNNNNNNNNNNNNNNNNNNNNNNNNNNNNNNNNNNNNNNNNNNNNNNNNNNNNNNNNNNNNNNNNNNNNNNNNNNNNNNNNNNNNNNNNNNNNNNNNNNNNNNNNNNNNNNNNNNNNNNNNNNNNNNNNNNNNNNNNNNNNNNNNNNNNNNNNNNNNNNNNNNNNNNNNNNNNNNNNNNNNNNNNNNNNNNNNNNNNNNNNNNNNNNNNNNNNNNNNNNNNNNNNNNNNNNNNNNNNNNNNNNNNNNNNNNNNNNNNNNNNNNNNNNNNNNNNNNNNNNNNNNNNNNNNNNNNNNNNNNNNNNNNNNNNNNNNNNNNNNNNNNNNNNNNNNNNNNNNNNNNNNNNNNNNNNNNNNNNNNNNNNNNNNNNNNNNNNNNNNNNNNNNNNNNNNNNNNNNNNNNNNNNNNNNNNNNNNNNNNNNNNNNNNNNNNNNNNNNNNNNNNNNNNNNNNNNNNNNNNNNNNNNNNNNNNNNNNNNNNNNNNNNNNNNNNNNNNNNNNNNNNNNNNNNNNNNNNNNNNNNNNNNNNNNNNNNNNNNNNNNNNNNNNNNNNNNNNNNNNNNNNNNNNNNNNNNNNNNNNNNNNNNNNNNNNNNNNNNNNNNNNNNNNNNNNNNNNUUGUCCUAAUUCUGCUGCUACUAUUUGGUUUGGGAUUCUAUAUUGCUAUAAUGAAGUGGGUACAGUUGCUGAGUAUGGUAUUGUGCUUUGCUGAAAGUAAUAGUUUGUAACAAGUUGAGCAUGAUUAUCAUCUAUGCUCCAACUUGAGGGGGAGUGUUAAGGAUUAGUUGUAAAUAGAGUUCUAUUAGGAGUUAGAUUCCUAAUUAGUUUAUGAUUUGUAUUCCUAAAUAGCUAGGUAACAUAGGAAUUCCUUAUAUAUAGACCUAUGUAAUCGAUUGAUGAGAUACAAGAAAUACAAUUACAAUAUAUUCUCUCAACAAGUUCAUUUGUUAUCAUUUGUCUCAGUCUGAUCAUGGUUCUAAAUGCUUCUUGAUAACAUCUCUUAGCCAGCUACAUGGAUUCUCUUCAAGUCAGUACAAUGUACCUUUUCGUUGUCUCACUAUUUGUACUGCUUUAUACUGGCAGCUUUGGCAAAAAUUUUCAACUCCAUGUAUUGUUGGGCUUGCUUUAUGUAAUGCAAAUAAAGGGUUGAUGGAGAGGUCUUGCUUGGGUAAGAAUAAUUGAAUGUGAGAGCUCUAAGACGUCCCAGGUUUGAUAUAUGAGAGAGUAAUAAUUACUGUCGAGUUGAGCUAUAGUUGGUAUACUAUUAGGAGCAAUCUUGUACAAUGGGUGCAUCAAAAAGCUUAAGCUAUGCUUAGCUGAUGCUUGUUAUUUAGGUGACUGUUUUGGCAACAAUUGGCCUCAAUUAAUAUCAUGUAGUGAUAGUGCCCCAUCCCAAAUAUACAUGUUAGCUAAUACUAGAAAUUGCUAUUUGUAAUAGAAACUCUGUGCUGAUAUAUGGGAAUGAGCCAGUGCUAUAUAUCUCAGUUGUCUAGAAAAACCAGAACAUUUAUUAUUGUGGUAUUGAGAACUUGGUGCUGACUUGCUUCCAGUUUGUGUGAUCAUAUAUCGUUCUUGUCCUUGUCCUUGUCCUGUCAGCUAGUGAGUUGAAAAUUUUCACAUUCGUACUGUGCCAACUCCAUAAAAAUUUUCUAUCAAGAUAUUUUCUUGGUUCAUAAGAUUUCAGUGGUAUGAUUGUUGCCGCUACUCAUAUUGGCAAUUAUAGCUUUGGUCGUGGGAGUCACAGAUUAUAUUCAUUUUCACGGGACAAUUUCUGUGUAGAAUUUGGAAUUGAUUAAUGUUUUGAUGUUUUGUGGACCAGCAUGUUUUUCUUCUUUUUAAAUUGUAUUGCCACCCAUCUAUUACGAGAGUUAUUUAUAACUGAUGUGUCCUUCAUUUCUGCAGACUAAAGAAGGAAUUCUAAUAAAUAAUCAGGCAGCAAAGGAAGAGAUGCAAGACUUGAAUAUGUUCAGAAACGAGGUCACAGAGAAGCAUCAGGUAGAGACAGAAGAGCAGACAUCAUGCGUUCCUGAAGCUACUAACAUAUCCACAGGUACAACUGUGCCUCGUGUAAAUUUUGGUGGAAAAACACUUCCAAAAUCCAGGAGCAAUCUUUCCAAUGACAAGAAGAAGACGGGGAGGAGAAAAUCUGGCAGAGGUGGCCGGAACCGUAAAUCCUGAGCUUAGCUGGAUAAGUGAUUUAGAUGUCUCGAGUACAUAAAAGACUGAAACUUCUUCAAAAGUUGUUGGAAGUAACACUUUUGCAAGAUGAUAAUUGUAAAUGCUGAUGCAUUUUCUGAUGUGUAUCUUCCCGCUGCCCAUCUGCUGCUUACAUAUUUGUACAUGCUCCAUAUUCAUUAGGUCUCUUAUCUAUGCUGUAGAGCAUUGGAUGCUUUGUUUAGAGAUGUGCUAUUAUUUUAAUACAAUUAUAAUUUUGUUUGUGGAAAUAUUUUUUAGAUUAGUGAGAAUUUGCAGAAUGUGUACACUGGAGAAGCACAGUUGUUAGGUCCCUCCUUGAAGCUAACAGCUCGAUCCGAGCCAGGAAUUGAAUUGGAUAGUGAAAACUGCUAGAUUCAUAUGAUAUCAUGGAUUUCUUUCUUACAUUGACCAUAUGCGUUUCGUCUCUCUCCUUUCUCCUUUGUGUAGCAUAAUGACUCGUCUCUUUUACUGUUCAAAUCUGCAAAAUGGGGAUGUUUUUUGAGUCUCAUGGGAGAAGUUAUGUGAUUGUAUAUUUGUCACAGGACUUAAUAUUUUCCCUUAUCUCUUCAAUUUGACACUACAGGAAUGCUUGUUAAUAUUUCAAUGUUUGACUGUUUUAGGUUUUCCUUCAACGCAUUCCACAAGUUUUUGUGAUAAUAACACUGUACAAGCAAUUCUUAGAUAAAGAUUCGCUUAUUAGUCUGAUGGAUUGGAUUGAUAUGUUUGAUACUGCAAAAAGAAAAAGUCAAAUAAAUCAAAUAUACAAAUUAAGAAGUUUUUAUAACAUUCGCCAAACACAAGUAGCAAUGAUGUCCUGUGUCCGUAUCAGAAUGCAGAUGCAAUCCCAGAUUCCUGAAGAGGUUGAGCAAGAAGUCUGUUCAGGAGCGCAAACACUCCUAGGAAAUGCGAAAAUAGUGAAAUAUGUUUGCUGUGAGAGAUCUAUCGAUCCAGUCAAAAGAAGUAAACUUUCCAUCUUAUGUUAAGGACUUCUUUUCAUUUUUCCCAUUUUUAGCAUCUAAAAUUAACCAUUUCCAACCCUUCAAUUGAGGUGGAGAAUCUUUAUACCAACCGAUAAAAGAUCAAGUACAGGAACAAGGUGGAUUAGCGGUCAGUCGCCAAGCCAGUUCAAGAAAGCCAAGUAAAAAAAAAAAUAUUUCCAGGUCUAUCUCAGCUCGUUCAUCAUCAUCCAUGAUCGAUUUCAAGAGCAAACCAUCUUCAGAACACCGUCUUCAUUUCUGGUGUUUCUGUUCAUGCCUCGUAGACUUGGUCUUUAACACUAAUUUCUCUCUGUAGGGUACGGUUGAAGAAAUGCUUCAUCUUUUUGCGGAUUUCGAAUCUGAACUUACUCAUCUACUCUAGAAAUUCAAGCUGCAUUGCAAAAUGUGACUGAUGCCCUUUAAACUGGACCAUUUUCCAAGAUCCUGAACAGAACAAGAAACUCAAGAGAGCCUUGCACCUCGUUUCCACUUACAGGUCUGAAGACGGUUUAGCCACUGGUCAAAUGGCUGCUAUUUCUAACUUUAGGCAGGAGAUUGAUAAACUUGUAGCAAAGUUCAGAAAUUGCAAUGAGGAAACAGUCUGAGAAAGACUUUCAGGAAACAUAUCUCUUGCUUAAGGAGCUGAAAGUAUGUUAGACCAAAUUAGUGGAUUUUAACCUCACAUACUUCUUAAUUUAGAACCUGUAUGAUAAGUAAAUAAGUUUUGUGGAACUAAAUCGAUGGUGUUCGGUCAUGGUAUCCAUAGCGUUGCUUCUUUUUCGGCGCAGACCCGACGCGACUGACAGAUAAGCCGACGUUAAUAGCAGGUCUAAUUCCCCCCCUUUUUUCGUCUAAGUAAGGUGAAUUGGCUUCCUGCUUGACCCGAACCGAAGCAAGUCCUUCUUUCAUUUCUUCGGUGAUUGGCUCUCGUAGCGCUUAGUGUAGUAAGGGCCACUGGCUGUUCUUUCUACGUAAACUUGCUUUUUGGCUUCUUUCAUCAAAGAUAGGUAUGAGCUAAAGGCUUUUUUUUCUCACUAAACCCAUUUCUGAUCUUCUAUUGAAACUUUAUAUUUUCAUUUUCAUUUUCUUUUUAGGAAUUCAAUUCAUGUAUGUUAACUAAAUAAAAUUCUGCCAUUAAUGAAUUCUGUAUUUCAAAUGUCAAAUUCACAUCAUAACAAAAAAAAAAAAGAAAAGAAAAAGGGGACACAGAAAAUAGAAUGGAAAAUAAGAUGAGAUUUCAUUUCCACUCCCUCUUUAUUUUAAUUAUUAACCUUCUAAUUUUUGUUUCAAAAGGAAUCCAAGGCAAGGCAGCAAGCUUAAAGGACUUUAGCUCCAAUGUGAAGCUAACAAGUUGUUCCAAGGUAGGAAUAUCCUUUCAUUUCGAAAAUUGUUAGAUUGAAUAUAAAUCAAGGAUUCCUUUCUUUCAUCUAAGAAAAAACAAAAUCCACUCUCUAUUUCUUUGCAUAUUUCUCCAAUUUUACCCUUCCAUUAUAUAUGUAACCAUUUUGCGAUUCAAUCUACUUGAAUUUUUCAAAUUUACAAAAUGGGGAUGUCCAUGAGUUUCAUGGGAAAAGGUUUUGUGAUCUUCUUGCAAAUUUUUCAUUUUCACAUAGUAAUCUUUUUUGUUUUCCCUUGCAUAUUAAUGGUUUUCUUAAUUCUUGCAUUUGAUUAAAAUUAUUACAUAACAAAUACAAUAAAGAAUUUUUUUUUUUUUUUUUUUUUUUUUUGUAGGGUUGCCUUCAAACCAGAUGGUAGGUUUUGUUAUGGGGACUCUCUACAAGCAAUUUGUGGACCAAGAUAUUAAGAACGUUGAGGAAUUCCACAUGGCUAUUCUUGAUAUCUUCAAGUAAGAUUAUAAAGAAAUUAUUAUUAUUAUUAUUAUUCUUGAUAUCUUCAAAUGAGAGGGUCGGAAUCAAGCCUGGACCUAUAUCAUCACCGUUAAGGUUCCUUACCACCAAAAUCAACAUGAGUUACAAAAAUUAUCUUUUUUUAGGUUGUGAUUAGACCUAAUAAAUAUACAUUAAUUUUUUCAUUCUUGAAAUUUUAUUGCUGUUUAAUUGUUUACAGCGCAUUCAACUCAGCAUUGCCUGGUAAACAUUAUGAUGCACCCUCAAGAAAAGAGAUAGAGGCCAGUGACAUUAACCUUACAAUAUUCUAAUUAAUUAAAUCCCAUUAUCUCAAAUAAAUUUAUAUAAUUAUGUACAAAAAAAUGUUCAAUAUUGCAGGCAUGUUUUAGUUUUUGGAAACAUGCUUCAGAUGCACAAAGAAAAGAACUCUUCAUUGAAUUGAUGAAGAAGAGCGUAAAACUUAGCAAGAUAGAUGACUCCGCCUUGGUCACCGGAGUAGUAACACCACCGGCAGCAAUGGCUGCCAAGAAAGCGGCGGAGAAUUUGCCUCAGUUAAAGAUAUUAAAGGCUGUGCCAGAUGUUGUCUUUGUGCCUGCAGCAACAGUAUUAGCUCUUAUCUCUGCUAAGCUUACAAAAAGGACGUUCUUUGGAAGUUCAGCGUCUCCUUAAUUCUAAAAUAAAUUGUAGUAUGAAUUAUCUUGUAAUAACUAAAUAAAAUAUUAAAAUUUCAAGCUCUUUAUAAUUGCAUUUAAUGUUUUUAAUUUUAUCAAUUAAACGUAUAAUUUUUUUUAUCAUUAAUUUUGCCUCAUUCAUUUUACACAUUGAAAGAUCGAUUUUUGAAGAGAACACAAGAAGAUAUGAGAUAGUACACACCCAUUAUAAAAAUAGACUUUUUUUUUUUUUUUGGUAACGAUUGGAGAGCAAAACUCUAAGUAAACAUUGAAAGUCCAGUAUAAAAAACCUCUUGAAGAAGCCAUUCUGCCAUCCCAGGAGGCGGUUCAUGAGAAGUUGACUCCCUGAUGGAUAAUUUCUUGCGCAUCUAGAAAAGUAAUCCGCGCAAUUGUUCAUUUCUCUGUAAAUAUGUUUGAUCACACAACUUUGAAAUUGUGGGAUCAACUGCUGAAUAGCAAGCACCAGUUUCUGAAUUGCUCUUGAAGAAGAACCAUUGCUUGAAAUGAGUUGGACAGCAGCCAAAUUAUCACAUUCAACUUGGAUAUUUUUCAUCCCUAAACUCUUGGCCAGCUGCAAACCUUCCAGAACUGCCAACAACUGAGCAUUGAAAACCGUACAAGAACCUAUGUUAGAAACAAAGCCUCUGAACCACCUCCCAGCAAUAUCUCGAAUUAAACCUCCACCACAUGCUGAUUGUCCAGUAACAGAAGUGUUAGUAUUGAGAUUGACGCAGUUGCUAGGGGGAGGAGACUAUGUGAGUGAAAUUAAUUCUUUAUUGCACGAAGGAAUCUCGACUUUUUCACGUACAAACUAGUUUCGAAAAUAUUCUUAGCCAAGCAGAACGCCUCCAUUUUCAACCUCUGUAUCGUCACAUGUUCUUCACGAAAGUACCAUCUAUUGCGUGGAUCCCAGAUUUUCCAGCAGCACACUCCGAAAAUAAUAGGUCAAGGGACACUAGAAUGAUGCGUACAGUUGCCGGAAAGAUUAUACAAGAGCCAAUUUUAAUGCAAUAUGUUAACUCAUAUUUCUCACACACGCAUAAACUCCACGUGUGAUUUGGGAUAUGGAAUACCCAACGUUUCUUAAAAUCGAAUUAAAUUAAAUAAAUAAUUAAAUAAAUAAUAUACAUUACCAAAUAUAUCUUAAUUCUACAGCUGAUACAUAAAUACAUUACAGCUUUAAUUUUAUGGCAUUUUAAAUUUUGAUGAGGACCAUUUAUGCUCUUAUUUCUUAUAAAUUUUUGCAAAUCACAUACUUUUCCAUAUCAUCGACAAUUAUCUAUAGGGAUAUUAUUUGAAAUAUUAAUUUGAUUUAUGAUUAGGAUAACUUUAGAAAUAAUGAUUUUUACAUCUUUUAAUUAUAUUUAAUAGAUGUCCGAUCAAUUUAAAUUUAAGUGUUAGUACAUUCAAUAGAAUGAUUUGCAAAUUUUUUAAUCUUGUUGAAGUUUUUAAUAAAUCAAAAUAAAGCUAAAGGUUCCUUUAGACACUUAAAAAAAAAAAAAAAAAAAAAAGUUAAAGCGUCAAUUUAUGCGUUUGGCCUAAUUCUGCAGGUUACUGUUUUUUUACUUUAUUUUAUUAUUAUUAUUAUUAUUUUUUUUUUUUUUUUUUUUUUUUUUUGAAAUGAGAUUUGUGCUUAAAAGGUGCAUAUUUUUUUCAUAUGGUUCAUUAUGAUUAAGUAGAAUAUGCAGGUAUGGUAGUGGCUAAAAGGUAGGUUUUGCGAUUUCAUUUUGCCUCCAUCUCUAUUUCACGUGAAACCAACAAUCUGUGCUAUGUACAGAUUUUCUUUUCUUUUCUUUGCUUUACUCUAUGUCAAGAAAUAUAAUAUAUAGUAUCAACUUUUUUUUUUUUUUUUUUUUAAAAAAUGAAGAUUUUUUAAGAAAUGAAGUAGCAUACAUACAAUUAGAAAUAGGUCAUUCCGCUAUGCAUAUGUCAAUAGUAUAUAUAAGAUAUGUCGGGUAAAAUUAACUGUUUUGUUAGCUGUUAGUUUUUUAAAUAAUGUUGUUUAAAUAAUUUUUCAUAAAACGUUAUAUAAAUUAACUUUUCAUAAAACACUAUCUUAACUUCUAAAAUCUAGUUCAAAGGCUAUAGUACCGAACACUAUAAAAAAUAUUAUUCAAAAUGCUAAAAACUACUUAAAAAGCGGUUGCCCGAACACAGUCAUAGUCUCUUUUAUUAAAUAUUAUUAGUAGCUAUUUUAAUUAGAAAAUACAAGGAAUAAAGAAAAACUCAACUUUAUAUAAACUGAUUAUCAAAACAAAAGAUAGAAUAAAAUGGCAGAUUGAUAUUUACAUAUAUGUUCAACUCAAUUAGUUCCUUAAUUAUGAAUUAAUUGGUAAAUUUUCUUCUUUUCUUUUUUUUUUCAUUUCAUAUUUAUAUGUGUGUUGUAGAUUUAAAUCUUCAAAAAAGAUUUAAAAUUUACAGUUAAACAAUUUUUUGCUAAUUUAAUUCAUUCCCAUGUUCUUUUUUCAUACAAGUUUGAUAUCCUCAACUUUUCCAUGCAUCUCCAAACAAUUCUUACACAAUUUUACUAAACAUGAUAACAAAUACUCUUCAAAUGGAGAGGAAGUCUUUAUCUGCGUAUAAUCAAGAACUAGAAAAGGUAAAACUGAAAUUUAAUAUUAAAAUUCAAAAAGUAGUAACAUAAUUUAGGAGUAGAACAAAAAAUUCAUUUAUUCCAAAAGCAAACGAGAAUUUGUUCAUAUUCAUAAAUGUUUCAAGAAAUAUUAAUCAGUUCAAGGGCACUUGGAUUGACCCUUGGAGUUCUUCUUGUCUCUAUAGCAAGGGCAUUCUGAUUUGUUUCCAUAGGUUCCUGAAGGUACACAUUUGCACUCUUGGCAGCAGAUUCCACAAUACUUCAAGCACCUAUCCUUAUAUCCUGCAUUGCUACACCUUGUCCCACACUUCAAAUCACAAUCACCUAAUAUCACCAAAACAGAAAUAUAAGUACUUAUUUAUUAUUCCAAAAUGGAAAAACCCCAGAAAAAAAAAAUUGAUAUUUGCUUGGCUUAAUUUAAUAAUCUUACUUGGAGCAGCUGUGGUAGGUGGUGGUGCAGCCAUAUAUGGUGGAGCUGAAGCCAUGGCUGUUUGAAGUAAAGAGGAGCAAAGAGCCAGUGAAAGAAUCAGGAAUGAUGCAAGCAAGAGCUUCAUUUUAGUUAUUUUGAUUGAUAUUUUACACUUCAAGAAAUAGUACUAACUAAGGCGAUGAGAAUUAGCUUAGGAAGCUAUGGGCUUGAAAGAAUUCAGAGGAGUAUUUAUAGUGGUGGAUUGAAGGUGGAAGUCAUGUGGAAAUUUGAAGCAAAAGGGUAUUUUAUUAAUAAAAUUAAAAGGCCAAUGAACAAUUUCAUUACAGUCUGUAAUUUAAGGAGGCACUUAUUGGGGAGGGCAUUAUAGAUUUUUGUCUUGAUUAGCUUAUUAUAUUUCUACUCAGGUUUAUGCUAUACAUAGGGAAGUUUGCAAGUACCUUCCUGAGGAAGGAGAUAAUCCUUUUUUAAGGUUAAUUAAUUAGGUUUUGACUAACACUUGUGAAGUUCUGAUGAUUUAUAAAAUUUUAGUACCAACAAUUUGAAAGGGUACAAGCUGUACUGGCUUCUCCGAUGUAGCCCAUUUGCAUAUGUUUAUUGAUCUUUUUUUGCUCUUCCUUUCUGGCUCGCCAGAAUCUCUAUGUAACUUGAAAAAUAAUUUCCAACUUCAAGUUAAAAGGGAACAAAGAAAUGAAAACUGAUAUAGACAGGGAUAGAGAAUCUCAAUUAGUUUGGCGCACAAUUCCAGGCUGUGGCUUCCCCCAACUUGCACUUAUUUAAAUUAUUUCCUUUUUAUAUGUGUGGGAACUAGAGGAGGAAGAGAAUAGACAGGCCCCCGAAGGUUCCAGGAAAUUGGACUCAACCUCCUGAGAUUCCUCUUUAAAUAUUUUGAUGUUCAAAAAAAAAAAAAAAAAAAAAAAAAAAAAAAAAAAAAAAAAAAAAAAAAAUUUUUUUUUUUUUCCCCCGCCGCACAAAGAAAAUAUUUUGUUGCGAAUGAACAAGAUAUUGAGGAAUUGUCCAUAAUUUUACUGUCACCUGAGGAAAAUAAACUUAGAAGCUUAUGAAAAUAAAUUAUAUAGCUACAAGGCAACAAAAUCUAGAAUUCAAUGGCUAAAUGCACAAGAAGUUUCAUUAAUAACAAUGUGAAUUCUUACAGCAGAAUUUUUUAUAUUCAAGCAUGGAACAAUUUAAAUACAUCGGAUUAGUGAUACUGAAGAUGCAAACCUAUAUACGUUUAAACUGCUGAGAGUUGUGGCCGUGAUAAAACAAUAAGGAAGCACGUCUUUGCGAACAGAAAGAACUCAGGCUUUGACAUGUACUAUAAAUUCUUCCCAAUAACUUGCAAAACAAAACAACAUUAAAAUGUCAAUCCACAUAGACACAUGUAUGCCUAUCUAUAUAUGUAAUAUGAUGAAAAAUAAACAAAAAGAUACCAAUGUCAACCUCCCAAACUAGAGGAAGCACGGAUAUGUUGACCAUAAGAAUGUUCUUUGGCAGAGCGACUGGAAGUGAGUAAAUUGACCUGCAGAAGGCCCUCAACAAUUAGAGUUGACAGAAUGACACAAAGGUAGGUAGCAAAGAAAAAUUGGUCAAGAAAGUUACCUUCACGAUGUCACAUUUGGCGCUUGGUCGCCUGGAGGCAGCUAGGACACUCAUGUGAAAUAGCUGUUUUCAAGAACACAAUGAUAAACAAAGCAAUACACGUGAAAAUUUUAUCUAACAAUUAACUUCUACUGUUGUUUGCGGUACUUGCAAUGGAAACUAGUACAAAACUUAAAGAAAGGAUGAACUGGACAUGAAAGCAAAGCAAUGUGAUUUCUGACUCACAGCAGUUAUUAGUUAAUAAAGAAAAGUUAUAUUUUCUUGGUUUGUUGCAUAGGAAAUUACCCUAUAAGGAUCGCUUCUUAAGGACUGCACAAACAGAGAAUUCCCCGAGUCACUAUCCUGCAAUGGAAUAAACACCAGAACUCUUAAACAUGACAAGUCAUAAACAGCAGAAGUGGAUGCAAAUAAAUGCUCCAAAAGGAUAAAACUGAAAUUAAUCAAUAGUCAUGCCUCCAAAUAAACAUCCUUGAGUCGCCUUCCAGUUUGAGCACAGCAGACGCGGACAACAUUUUCAUCACAGCUACCACUUAUGAUGUAAUCCCUCCCAUUCAUGUAAUAGGAGCGAGUAUAAUUAUGAGAACUUCCAGUUGCAGCUAUCUCAAAGUUCAUGUGAACCCUACCAUCUACUGCCAGAAGUUGUUUGACCUGACACAAGUUAAAAGUGGGAUAUUAUCUUGAACUCAGUGAAAGAAGCCAACAAGUUUGUUAUUACUAUGUUAAGGUGGCAUGCUUACAUCCUAAGAGGUAAACAAGGAAUUCUGCUUGAUGAUUAGUAGGGAACAUCUACAGUUAGAUGCGUUAAUGACAUUGGACUAGUGAAAUUAUGCUCAUCUUAUCAAACCCCUUUAUAAGAUUAGGGAGUCUACAUCCACACAAUGAUUUAGAAUUUUUCUUUAUCUAGUACGUUUUAUCCUUGCCCAACUGAAUAUAUACAUACAUAAUGGAUAUGAAAAUACCUCAUUGUCAACAGCUGAAACAAGCAGAUAUUUGUCAUCAGGAGAAAAGCAAACCAUCACAUUCCCUCUUGAACUUGAGGCUGUAUAACAAGGCCUCUCUGGUUUUUGUCUCAAAUCCCAAAGCUUGACAUCAUGGUCAAAUGACGAAGUAGCAAAUAGGAAGGGAGAACAGUGUGCAAAUUUAGCAACAUUAAUGGGUUCUCGAUGCAUAUUAGUAAACAACUGUAUGCGUCUUCUACUACUAAUGUCAUAUAGGGCAACAUCCUUUGAGUACCCACUGGCAAGAAACUGAUCGUCUGUGGAAUUGACAUGAACAGAAGUCAAUGGCUCAAAAUCAUCAAAACUGACCACUCCUGUCAUGCAAUUUAUAUCUGCAACUUUUGGUGGCAUAUGAUUGAUGUCAAACAGCUUCAAGGAACCAUUAUCAGAACCAGCUAGCAACUGUUCAAUGCAUACAAAAAGCCUUCAGCAAAAAUUGAACUUCUAAGAAUCAAAAUGAAGCAAUAAAUUAGAUGUCCUUCCCAUUAUAUAGCAUUUAUGAAUUACUUCCAAAGACAAGUUCUAGCAACAAAUUAUCUAUCCUAUUGAUACAAUUCUAGUAUCUUUUAGGUGUAAGCAUGCAACUGGCUGAUUUCCCUCAUCCAAAGAACAAAUGUAAAAUAUUUCAAGGUUUAAAUUGCUGCGGAAAGUAUACAAGAUACUGCUGUUGGAAAUAUCACCUUGGAAUUCAGGUGUGAUCUUGACCUACAAAGUCAUCGAGUAAAAUAAACCAAAUCCAAAGACAACCGCAAUUUAUUGUUGAACCAUAUUGAACUUACGAUACCAAACACAAGUGCCUUAGAAACAGAUAAAAGAAAAGGGUCGAAAGUGCAAGACAAAAGUAUUACAAGCCUAAAAUGCUUUAUGGAAAUGGCAUACCUUUGAUGGAUACAUUUUGAGCCAACAAAGACCCAGAAUACUGUUCAUUGCUCCACUGGAAGGAACAUAACCAACAGUCUUCCCAUUUUCAUGAUUAGUGACAACUACUUCACCAUCUAGAGUUCCAAAAACCAUAAGACUAGGAUCAGAUGGAUGAUAUUCGAAUUGUCUAGGGCGAAGACGCUUACUUCCUUCUUUAUGCAGAUGGCUCAAGCUAGACAAAGGGUGCAAGAGGGGCCAUGCAACAGAACCCAGCUUGGCAGCACUAAGAGAUCGUGGAAAGAAAAUUUGACUCUUUCCAUGAGGAUAUUGCUUCUUUGUCUUCUGGAAAUUUGGGCAGGCACCACUUGCUCUCAUUUCACGUUUCUGCAGGAUACUGACAAUGCUUUCUUUGUAUUGUCGGUUAUAGGCUAAGUACUCAUAGAAUUUUGAAGAGAUGAUCUUCGCCAUUUUCUUGUCCAGCUUUCCAACGGGCAAAUUAUCUAAAACCUCCAAAUGAGGCAAUGAAGCAAUUAUAUACUCCCUAUAAUGUUUCUCAAAGCAGAUAGGCGAUGGGUGGUGUGAACUGUAAAUGUUGUUUAACUUAGUACAGUUUUUCUUCAAAUCCCACAUGCAUCCACUUGCAAACAACUCAUUUUUGUCUUCAAUCUAUCAUUCGCCAAAAGAAACCUGUUAGACAAACUAAAAAAAUCCAUCACCAAACAUCUAUAUUUCAAACUUUCCCCCUUCUAAGCAUUUAAUAUGCUUACCUCAUUUUGCAACUUGACUUUUCCAUUCAAAUUAGGAAGCAUGCUGGAUGAUAGUUCCAGCAAAUCUAUUCUUUGCAGGCAGCUUGAAAUUUUAUCUUCAGUAGUGACUGAAAAGUUAUCAGUUCCUCCAUUAACCUCAUUACAUGUAAAUGCAUUUUUGGGAGAAAGCAAGUCACAACAUGACAUUGCAUGAGGAGUGUAAAUAGUUGUGUCAGCAGCAUUGACAGGCAGCAGUUCAAUGGAUGAACCUCUAUCCAACUGAUGCAGGACAUUUGCUUUGUUACCAAAUGAUGCAGGACAUGGCCCAGUGUCCUUGCAACACAAGCAAUUUUGGAAUCGUAGUUCUAGCAAAGAAGGAAGUUUCAAUAAGGCAGCAGUGGUUGUCCAGAGAUCAAUCACUCUUGUCUCACACAUUGAGAGACGCAUCAGAUUGGGCAUGGAAGAAAAACAGUCCCUAUGCAAACUAGCGAUUGAAGUGCAAAAAUCCAGAUUUAAGGUGUGCAAUCGCAUAAAACUUCCAACCAUGUUGAGCUUUUGGAUGUGAGUGGACCUCAAGCUUAAAAUUUCACAAGAUAAGCCAUGGUGACUUAGAUCCCUGGAAAGGUCCCACAAACAACGAUGUUAAAAUAUGAUUUAGAUAGAGAAUACUCCACCUUUCUUUUCAUCCUUUUCAAGCAUAGUUAAUUGGUCACUAGACUCACUGCAUGAUAUAAUGUUUCCUUAGCAAAAGAGGAUGCUAUAUGCUUUUCAUAGAAAGACAAAAUUAACUGUCAUGAACCCAGAAAGACACAGGACACAAAUGUUGGGGCUCUGUAAACUGCUGAAGCAGGGUCUUGGGAUCCUAGAUAAGGCCCUCACUUGAGCAUUCAAAUCUUCAUAAUUGUUAACCAAUACAGAAAGUGCCCACUAGCCGUCCUAAUGGUCUUUCCAUCCAGAUUCUAAAAAUAUGACGGCAGUGGUCCUUUUCAAGUUAUUUUAAGUGAUAAUCUCAUCUCUUAAAACUCAUAAAGUGAUUAGAACUUCUAGCAUCACCAUCAUUUUUCUCUCUCUUCAUAUUCUUUUUUCUUUUUUCUCUUUCUUAAGGAAUUCAAGGUUGGGAAAUUGGAAACGGCAGAAAUCUAUCAGGUAAAGGAAAAUAAAAUAUAGAAGAUAAUGCAUUAUGACUAUGGUAAAUGACAAAGACAAUAAGGACAAGCAAUAAAACAGAAUGGUGAUACCAACCAUAAAAAGUCCUCUUCCAAUGACAUUUCCUGAAGAUCAACAACCCGGAGUUUUAGAUGAAUUGCUCGCAACAAGGAAAGAACAUAUUCUUCCUUCAAAUUGCAAUGCGAUUCAUUGACUAUGUCAACUGCAUCAAUGUCAGAAGAGUCUACUGCUAGGAACAUAUCAAUCAGAGGAGGAAUAUCAUCAUUCUUGAGCUGAUUUAGCAAAACCUCAAAGGUACACUUCUUCUGGAAGAACUUCUGUAUUGUGGCCUAAAUAAAAGAAGAAAAGUUAUGCUUGCCACAAAAUAGUUUCUUCAAUGCAAAAACUGUACAAGUUUGUUACUGGAUCAAUCUACCAGCCAGUGAAGCAAAGAUGAUUAAUAAUCAUAGAGAAGAAAGCUAAGUUUCAUUAUGCUAUCAAGUUAGGACCAUAAGUAUUAUUUCAGAGAAAGAAAUGCACCUCCCAAGGCCAAAAAAACAAAAAAAGAAGAAGAAAAAAAAAAAAGACAGCUUGCUGCUUUAGGAGGUGGGAUAAAACUAACUUCAGAAAAAUCCAGUCCAAGCAGCACACAGUGCAACAUAUGGCUCUUUUCUGAAAGAUGGUUUAAGAAUCCCCUCAAUGCAAGCAAAAUGAUUCUAUACUAACAACCAACUUUUAUCCAAAAAAUAUGAUAUUAAUUGAUAAAAACAACAACAAGUGGACAGCCUUAGUCAGUAACAUCAGAUUCCACAAUCUAAAGCAGUCUGAAGGGAUAAAGGCAGAUGAAGGGGGGAGGUGCGUGUGCAAUAUCCUAACAAAGGAAACACUGUUCCCUAUUAAACAUGAGGGGCGGCGCAAACAUUCAUGAAGAAAGUUUAGUUUAAUAGACCUUAGAGAAGCAUGACAGUACGGCAGAAUUGGGUGGCACCUCAUGCCUCCUGCAAGAAUCAAGAUACCUAGCACAAAAAGAGAACGCAAUCUGAGAAUCAAUAAGAAUCUAAAAGUACAAGGAUUCAGAGAGCAAAAGCCACUAUCAACACCAGCAUCAAGAAAUCAAGCUUUUGAAAAUACUUGCAACUAUCAACCAAUGGAACGAGUCCAAACAUGAAAUGUUCUACAAAACAAAAGUAUUUGAAGCCAGAAUACUAAUAAUUCCACAAAUUUACUUUGCCAAAUAUCAAUAAAGGCAACAACAAGACUCAUAUUCUCAUAGAAACUAUAAAAUUUUCUAAAAAAAACUUAAUUGGCCAGUAAAAAGUUCCCAGAAAAUUUUAAUUAUGAUUCUUUUUUCUUUUUUUGGGUAUGUGAAAUUGUACAUUAGUUCAAUCAUUACUAAUCAAUCAAUCCAACUAGCUGACAGUAAUAUUUAGUUUAGUUAAUGUCGCUUUGAAUUUUGAAGAUUCUUCCCGCUACUGAUCAGAGAAAAGGAAUAGAUCAAAGGGAAGGUUAGCUUUGUGAACUAAUUUAUGCAAAGAUACUAGCUUUGAAUCUGAAAUAGAAAAAAAAAUCAUGUUUUGCUUUGUGGGUGUCCACAGAGGAUCUCUCUCUUUUGCUAAUUUCAGUCAUUUAUGUAAAAAAGCUGUAACAAUUGCCAACACUUUCUCUAAGCACUUGCCACCUGCUACUAAUUUUCCUUUGCCUCUUUUGGCUAAUUCCAUUCGUAACUCCCAUCAUUGGUUAACCUCCCAAAAUACCACGUCUAAAUUUCUCUUGAAAGCUGUACCAAACCCACCAAUCCUUUAACUCUUAAAUCCAUGAUUCAGUAGGAAAAAAAAAACAAAACACAGACAAGAAACCAGAAAACCCAGAAGAGAAAAAAAUUAAAGAAAGAAAAAGAUUUAAUUAGAGAUCAAUAUCAUACCGAGCUUCUAAGGUGGAGAUAUCCAUGCAAAUGAUUGGUGACUGUAGCUUUGCUUCUUCUAGUUCUUCACAUUAAUGGCGAAAAAAAUGAAGUCAAUGGAUCUAAGACACGGGAAAUAUUGCUAACAGUGUCAAAAACACAUGUCGAAUGGAUAAGCACACCUGUUCUUAAUUCUAAAUUCUAACAUUACUCAGUGCAGGAAGAGAAAGUGAAAUUUCAACCAAAUAAUAUUCGACAAGAUUACCUUUAGAAGUUAGGACCAUCAUCAAAUGGCCAUUAUGUAUUUGAGUCACGCAAUUAUAAUACAAAUAGUUUUUACAAGUUUAAUUUAUAAUUAUAUUUGUCGUUAUUUAUUUAUUGAAUGAUAAUCUAUUAUUCAAUUUGCUAAAAAAAUGUAUCGUUAGUCAUUGCUAAUUAAUGAUUAACUAUUAUUGGAUUUUGAAAAGCUAUUCUAAUGCUUAAAUUAUUAAAUUCUCCAAUCAAUUCGCAGUUUAAAAAGAUAUUUAAUAUUUUUUAUUUUUAUUAAUGAAAUAUAUCUAUAUACAUUGAAUUAUGUGCGAUGUAAUUAAUCUCUUACAUCCUAUAAAUAUAAUAAAUAUAGAAAGUGUAAGAUAUUUGGUUAGAUUUCUUUUAUUUGGUAAUCUCCUAAAAAAAAAAUCUAUAUAUAUAUAUAUAUAUAUUUUUUUUUUUUAUGGAGGUAAAAUUUAAAAAAAAAUGUGUAAAAUAACUCAACUACCUUUUGUUAUCAUAUGGAAAAAAAUAAUUAAAAUUAAUUUUUUUUAAACUUUGGUAAGGGAACGGAACUGUAAACAUUCUUAAUUAUAUCAAGUGAACACCACCAAGUUAACACAUAAAUAUUAUAAUCUUCAAUCAUUGUAUAAUUUUGUAUAUUAGAAAAUGAAUUAAGUUAAAUUAUUUUAGUGGAUCCUGUGGCUUUUAUUUUUGUCACGAUUUGUCAAAUCAAUGCCCAACUACUAACUAAGAUGUUGACAACAUUGUUAAUAUAAAAAGAUCAUUAAUCAUGUUAGAAAAUGAAAAUAAGCUUGUUAGAAAUAUGUCAAAUAAAAUACUUAUUUCUCAUUUUUUUUGUAUGAAAAAAUAGAGAAGAAAAUAAAUAAAAUUAAUUUCUGAGUAAUAUUUGAAGUUCACCAUCAAAUAAAAUUAGUUGUUUGAUUUGAAUUUGUUCUAAUGAGUUAAUAUUUCCCAACUAAUUAUCAAAUUUCUUUAUCUAUCCCUAGAAGGUGUAGAAUAUGGAAGGAUAAUUAAUUGAAGGUUUUGAUUGGGCCUAAAAAUGAAUGUUAGUAUCUUAGAGAAAAAAAGAAAAAGAAAAAAAAAAGCUCAGUGGUAGAAUAACGGUGGUUGACAACCACAUUUUGCACUGAUCAUCAUCGUCAUCAUCAUCAUUAUGUAAUAAAUGAGAAUAGUGGAUGUUGACAUGACAUUGUGUUUGAGAGUGAAACUCUCUAAAAUUUAAAUAUUUUGUUUUAACUUAGUUAAGAAAAUUUGAAGAUUUUAAAGAGAAAACGUGUCUCCCUUAACUCUUUCUCUCUCUACUUUAUAACUUUUAUGAAUUUUUAAAUAAUACUAACUCAUUUAAAAUUAAUCUCUAAUUUAUAUCUUUUAAAUAUAAUGGCUCUUGAAUAAUAACUCUUUUAAAAUUACUCUCUAAUUUAUUACUUUUAAAUAUAAUGGCUCUUGAAGUUCUCUUAUAAUUUUAAAUUUUCAAUUAGUUCAAUAUUAUUAGGUUAAGAAUGUUAGGAAUAAAAUUAUACAAAAUAAGUUUGAGAUAAAAUUUUAAUAUUGAGUUUGUUGUAUAUUAAUAUUAAUAUUGUUGGUGCAAAAAGGUAAUAAUUAUAUGGAUUUUGGAUCCGCAAAGUAAAAAUUAACCAAAAAUAAAUACUUGCAAUUAAUAUAUUUUUUGCAUGUGCUAAAUUAAUUUUGAGAUAAAAUUUUAGCAUUAAAUUUUUUCUAUAUUAAUAUUGCAAAUGAAAAUAGGUAUUAGCUAUAUGGAGUUUGGACGAGUAAAUGCAGAAAUUGUUCAAAAAUAAAUAUUUGCAACUAGUAUUAUUUUUGCAUGUGCUUUUAUCUAAUAAUGAUGAUAUAACCAUUUUGAUUUGAAUAAACUUUUUUACGUUCUUUAUUUUCGUUCACCUGCUAUCUUAAAAAUCAUGUUUCACCUUAAUUAGCGUAAACAAUUUUAAUUCUACACGAUAAUAUUUAAGUUUAAAUCAUGAAAUAUUAUAAAGCUCUGCGAAACAUAGAAAAUUGCAUAGUUAAAAAUUAAAGUAUAAAGUUAUAUUAGGAAGCCUCCUGUGUUUACUAAUAAUUAGAUAUGAGAAAUGAUGAAAAAGGCUAGGAGCUCUCCUAAUCUAUGUCAUAAUAACUCUCAUCUUUAAGAAUUUUGAUGUAUUUUAAAAAAUAAAUAAAUAAUAACAAUUAGACAAGGAUGAUUAGUUGAUCAUGAACACACGAGUAAUAUAUUAAUUGAAUAAUGACAAUUUACAAUAAUUAUUAUAUAAUAGAAAUAAUUGAAAUAUUAAAAAUUGGUUCCGGUAAUUGAUCAAGUCGACUAAUUCAAUCACGGAUAGCCAGUUCAAUUAGAUUCUCUUUCUUAAAUGAUGCAAAAGCCAAAUGGAUCCAAUUUUAAAAUUAGUUCACCAAAUUUUCGAGUUAAUUUUUUUUUUUUUUUUUUAAGAGAAAAUUAUGCUUGCACCUUUUAGUUGCGUUGAAUUUAAAGUUUGGUUAAAUUGCAAUUAUACCAUAAUAUUUAAAGCUUCUUUAAGGAAAAACUGAAGGUUGGGAAGUUAAAAUGUAUAAGGUUGAAUUUCUCUCCACACCUUAAAUAAUAAAGUUGUACUAUAAUAUUAUACUCUCUUUAUCCAAAUUAUAAUAAACUCAAAAUAACUUACAAAAAAAUAUUUAAUUUAAUAUAAAUAAUAAUAUGAUUAAAAAAAUAUUUAUUAAUUUUUUAAAUAAUCAAUACGUCUUAUAUUUUAAAAUAAAAUAAUCGCAAUUUAUAUUUAGUAGGGCAAAAAAAGUGCUACCGUUGCCAAAGGAUAAGAUUGAAGCUAAUUAGGCAAAACAUUUACACGCUUUGGUCAAAAUCCUUAAGUACGCGGCUAGCCAAUAUGGAAGCACCCAAACUAUUAACCAGUCUUUCACGUGUGGUCGCGCAAGUCCGUGCGUGUGCGCGCAUGCGCAUGCUUGUGUGUGCGUGUGUCCAUGAUUAUAUUUAGCUUGGUUUGGUAGGAUGAAUAUUGCUACUUUAAAAAAAUAAAAAUAAAAAUAAAAAUUGAUUCAUAUAAUAAAAAAAUUGAGUCAUUUAAUUGAAUAAGAACAUAAAAAUCACACUCUCUCUUCCUUCGUGAUUUACAAGAUAUUUAUGAAAGAAACAAAAAUAAGAAUUUGGAGGAGAAAGCAAGUUGUAGAAAAAGACAGAGAUGCAAGAAAGAAAACUUGUGAAGCACGUGUGCCACCCAAAGGAAUAUCUUAUGGAAAUUGAAAAGGAUUGUACAUUGGCUAACGAAUAAUUAGGCAAUUAGCCUACUAUGAUGGCUUAAUUAAAUUAUUAAUUGACUCGGUAAACUGAUCAAUUAACAAGUAAUUAUAAAAUAGUGGAUCUCCAUUUUAUACUUUUUCUUCUCAUAUACAAUUUUAAAUUUCUACUCAUCAUUUUAAAUUUGGUAAACGGCAGUGGAGUCAAUAUAUAAUUAAUUUUGAAAUGAUAUUCAUAUAAUAAUCAAAUAAGUUCAAAUUAAGUAAAAAUCUAAUUAAUUAAUUAGUAACUUCAAACAUAUACUACUAACCAUUUUGUUUUAGAUUAGUUCAUGAGAAAUUUGUAUAUCUAUAUUGAACUUGAAAUAAAAAUAAAGUUCACUCUUUAUUUAGCAUAGUAUUUUACCCUUUUUGUAAAUUUUUAUUUUUUUUUUCCUUAUUUUUUAUAUUUUAAUUCAACCACUUAAGGUAUCUUUAAAGUUUUAAAAUUAAUAUUUUUUUAUAAUAAUUUAUAUUGAUAUCUAUAUUUUUAAAUCCAUAUAUCUAUGUGUAUUUAUAUCCACACAUAUUUUAUAUAUCAAUUCAUAUCUAAAUCUAUAUAUCUAUAUUAAAGCUGAAUAAAAAAAAAGUUAUAAAUUCGAUUAUCCUUUUUCUUAUAUUCUUUUCCUUUAAAAUUUUUUAAAUUAUUUCUUUAUUUUUCUAUAUUUGAUUGAGCUAGUUAACAAUAUUUUUAAAAUCUUUCUAUCUAUUCAAGCCAAGAUAAAGUAAAAGUUCAAAAUUUGAUUUUCGCUUCAUUUAGUAUUUUGCUUUUUUCUUUUCAAGAAAGUUUUUGACUUUUUAUUUUUAUGUAUUUAUUUUACCGUCUAGGAUAGUUUUUUAAAGUUUAAAAAUUGUGCGUGUGUAUGUGAGAGAGAUAUAUAUUAGGAUGCUUUGUUAAUAUUAUCAUGGUUUUAAUAAAUGAUAUGUCAUUUGUGUCACGUGUAUAGUAAGUACUCUCUUAAAAAAAAAAAAGUUAUUUAUAAUAAUUACGAAUGAAAAUCUAAUAUAUUAAUUAUAUAUCAUUAAAAAAAUACUGAAAGUUCAUAGCUAGUUCUAUUUGUUGGUUUUUAAUAUUUAAAAUUUCAAUUAUUAUAUUAUUUUGAGAUAUUUAUUUAUUUAUUUUUUUGAGUAUUGGGGGAGAGGGAUUUGAAUCCAAAUCUAUUGCUGGGUCGUAUAUGCACUUAUCACUAGAUUAGGAUAAUAAUUAUUUAAGUUUGAAAGUUACUAUUUAUUUAUAAUAAUAUUAGAAAAAUAAUCAUAUUAAUUAAGUCAAAAUUAAAAAAUGUCAAAACUGCCCUCCCUUUAAUUUUACAAUUUUACUUGCAUUCUACUCUAUAGAGUAAAGUAUUCAGUUUCUUGAUUUUGAGCUUAAAUGCACUAAUUACGCUGUAUUUAAUUAGCUCUGAAACUGAAAGUUUUGUUUGAAAUUCUUGUCCUUGAUUUUUGCCUCAGCUGAAACAGUAUAUCUGCUUGGAUUGAAAAUACAAAAGCCUUAUACCCAAUCAUAUUGGGCUUAGCCCAUACAUAUCUAUCCAACUCCAACAUUAACCCUUUCGAGAUCAUUAACAUGAUUGGAUUUGGCUCAAUAUCAUUAUUAUCGGUAGAGAUGUCAUUUUCAAAACAAAAGGGAAAAAGAUACUCGAGCUUCUCAAGUUAGUUUUAGGAUUAUACAUUUGUAAGUUCAAAACUAAUCUAAACUUAGUUAAUCAAAUUGAGGUUUUAAUUUAUUUUUUUGUCUUUCCAAAUUAAUCCUACCAUGCUCUAGUCCAGGAGCACAAGGGGGAAUAAUAAAUUCAAGCUUCCUCCUUUCAAUUUUAAAAGAUAUUCCAUAUUAUCAUAAUCUUUUUUUCGUUAAUUAUGAUUUUCAAACUAUUUUUGAUUUGAGAGAGAAGAGAAAGAACCCACUAUCCAAAAGAAAAACUAUAUAUUAGAGAUUAAAUUAGGAAAGUAAGAACUAUAUCGUAUCAGUUUAAAUGGGUAGAGUAAGGCCAUAAAUGAUUUAUAUAAUUAUCAAUGGCUUAAAAGGAAUGAUAAAAAUAGUUGUACUACUAAUAUAAGAAAAUUUUAUGAUUUUAUCAUUAUAUUUUGUCAUAAUAUAUAAAUUGCUUGCAUUUUUCAGAAAUGCAUACUUUUGUUUUUAUCUUCUCUAUUUCUGUCGAUUUUUUAUACUUUUUUUCGUCAAUAAAUACUACUAUGUUUUUCAUAUAUUUUGUUAAAAUUUACAAUUUAUCCAUUUAUGUAUCAAUUAUUGUCUACAUAUUUCGCUAAAAUUAAGUAGCAAAAUUAAGUAAUUAUCCCUAUAUUUAAUAGAAGGUAGAAAAAAUUAACAUAAGAUACAUCAGUGUGUAACGGAUGAGGUAAAAAAUAUGGAUAAAAUUAUAUAUCUCUAAAUAAAAAAUAAAAUUAUUCGAAUCCAAUCGAUUACAGAUGUUUUUAUCAAUUUAAUAAGCAAGAGGAAAACUACCCCUACCCUUAUUACAUAAUGCAAAUAUUAAACAUUGCUUACCAAUAAUAAUACAUAUUCUUUGUAUUGGAUGCAGAUAAAAGCUUUACCUCAACAAAGAAAAUCUUUAACACCAAAAUGGUAGGGCUCUGACCAAAUGCCAGAAUCAAGAUAAACAAUCAUGCCAUCAAAUCAACUUGCUUUUCUUUCUUUUCUUUUUUUCCAUAAUUACCUUGCCCUUCCUUUUCUCUAUCAAACUGUAAUUUUUAGAUGACAAACAACCAGAGAUAACUACUCUUUUUUGUUUCUCUCUUUUAAUCUUUUGUUAGUUUUUAACUGAAACAAUUAAAGAAUAAAGCCAAACAUAUGAAAAAGCAAACGCAAGAACAGGCUGUUAAGAAAAGAAAGAAAGGAAAGAACAAAAGAGAGGCUCCCAAUAGAAUAAUCCAAAAUAUAUAAAAUGACAGUGAAUAGAAAACUACAAAAAUACAGAGUUUUUCCCCCCACACAGCUCUCCCUCCCUGUCCCUCAAAGAAUACUGAAUACAAAGCAAAUGUGGUUAAUCCCCAGGCAGAAAAAACCAAACCACUGGCCAGUAAGAUAUAGCAAUAAUUUAACAAAACAAUGGUAAUCAAAUAAAAAUAUCAAAUGGUGAGUCCGUAAAUAAAGAAGAAGAGCAUGUGGGGGACAAAAGAUUAAAAUAAUUUAACACCAAUAGCAAUAAUGGACAUUAUAAAACAUAUCUCUCUGUUUUGAUCUCUAGAAGAUCAAAGUCAUUGCUGCCCAUCCCAAUGCCAAGCCUCCGAGCAUCUUCUGUACUGACCUUAUCGAUUCUGAUCCGCUCUGCAAUUUGGAUCAAAAUUCAUUUUCAUAAUCCAGAUGUUAAGAAGAAUAAAUAAACUUGCAUAAAUUUCUACUUUAAUAAUUAUUCACGAGAAUGUUGUUGCCUCUCCCCGUUGGGAAGUUAAUGAUCUGAAAUUCUGAUGUUGAAAUUUCAAUGUUCGGUUUAGAGAAACAAUAAAUACACAUUCAUUAGAAAACCAUUAGCUUGAGAAUUAUUCGAUUCAAGAUAGAUCCUCCUUACGGGAAGUGAAACCGCUUUGUGCCAUAGAUUUUUAUUACUAUUGCAUUAAAACCUUUCAUCAACAGUUAUAAUUUUAUUAAUUAAAAGGACUUGCCCACUGUACUAAUAAAAUUAAUCACCUCCACAUUAAUGUUCUGCAGAUCCACGGAUGACACAGUGCAAUUCACUGUCAUUUGUACUACAGUGAUGGGGCGUGAAUCUUACGCGCCACAGUGUCGCGUUCAUCUCACUAGAGACAAGCGCUUACCACCAGAAGCAGUACUUGAGAAGCGCCAAGCUUUGCUUCCACUAAGCAGUUAUAAGGCAGCACCGACAUUUAGCAUUUCAAUAAUGGAUUAACUUGAGGGGCAAUAAUCCGGUCAUUUUAGGAAAUUUAAGCAUUCUUCACUAAUUUAGGCUCGGUGACCACUAACGAUAUCUAGAUUUUUUUCUAGUGCUAAAGAGGGAAAACACAGACCAUGGAUCUUUGCAUUAAACUUCAGAUCUGGAGGUGCAUUGCACUCCAGCGCAUGUCAGAUGGUAAGCCAAUCGGAAAAACAACUAAAACGAGCACUGGAAAGUAGAAAGUACCUCAUCGGCCACAGAAGCGGGACCAGGAGAGCUGGCGUCAAGGCUCGGUCCAGGUGCCUCCGUCGGUGGAGCUGGUGGACUCGACAACUCCGGACCAGGAGCAGGUGAAGCAGCGUGCUUCUUCGACUUUUUCUUGGUUGGAGUCGGUGCAGGAACCUCGGCGGUUGGCGCAGCCACUGGAGCUGAAGGAGCAGUUUCCGGAGGAGAGCUUGUUGGUGGAGUAACUGGUGCUGGUGAUGGAGGAGAUUGGGCCGGAGAUUUUGCUGGAGUUUUUGCUGGAGGAGAGCUCACUGGAACUGCAACAGGUGGUGAACUAAUAGGAGCGGCGGCAAGUGGUGGUGUAGCUACCGGAGCCGCAGCCGGAGCUGGCACCUUCUGUUUGGUCGGAGAAGCUGCUGGUGUCUUCGCUGGUGGUGAAGACACUGGAACUGCAACAGGAGCAGGCGAUUUAGAUUUUGCUGGUGCUUUAGCAGGUGCAGUUACAGGCGCUGCAGGAGCCAACGGAGUAGCAGUCGGUGCUGCACCUGGAGCUUGGCCGCCGACGCCGGCGACAAUGAUGCACAUUAAUGCAACAGAAAAAACGCUUUUGCGAUCCAUCUUGGCAGAGGAGAGA